RNAcentral lists this long non-coding RNA (44565 nucleotides) under Malus domestica (apple). Its description in RNAcentral is "long non-coding RNA (MDOM_LNC007582)". Lineage: Eukaryota; Viridiplantae; Streptophyta; Magnoliopsida; Rosales; Rosaceae. The record is from RNAcentral.
UUUUUCAUAGCUAUUUGUUGACUAUGUUUUUUAUACAAAGCGUGUAUGUUGGCCAUUUUUCUCUUUCAUCUUAGAAAUUCACCAUCCUAAGAGUUAUACACCACACACACACACACACACACACACACACACACACACACAAAUAGCAUGUCCUUCUACUAAAAUAGGUUGGAACGCCUGUAUGCCAAAUCUAUGCAAAGUAGGCGCCCUAUUCAGUAAUACGGGAUGCCCUUGCAUAACUUACUGAGGUAUAUGCAUUUGAAAGGGGUGCCCGGGUUAGUAUAUAUAUCAUGAGCAAUAUGGAGACCUCGCCCAUGAAGUAAAUCAUCGCACCUAUGGUCCAACCAAUUUACAUAUUAUACUGUUCAUAAAGUGUAUUUUACUUGCUUUGACUAAGAGAGGUCAUCCAGAAAUCAAAUCAUGUGAGAUUUUCACUAGAUCUUGCUUCAUGGGACACAAAAGGAUGUUCACUUUGUAUUCAAAGUAAGAAAUUUCCUAUAUAGGAAUACUGAGUGAUGGACCAAUAUAUGAUAUCUGCAAGCACUAUAAUUUUCACAUGAGUCUACCCUUGUAUAAUGUUCUUAGUAAAAAAAAUAUAUAAAAAAAACUUGAUGGAAGGUUCUUUCAUCUUUCUUAACUGCAUUCAUGAUUAAAUUACCCGUUUGAACACAAUAUUACCCUAUUUUAAGGUUGUAGAUAUGCAAAUUUCAGUGAAAAUAAAUGUUUAUCAACGCAUUAAAUUUCAACAUGCAAAGCUUAUGUGGCAUGUACCAAGAAUUUCAUGUUUACAAAGGUACCAUUGUAAAGCAGGGUUUCUAGGAUUCGACAACACAAUAUAAAUAAGGAUGCACUCUCCAUAUCUAGUCUAGUCGAAUCAAGUUUCAAAAACUCAAUACACACUAACAUUUGAUUGGGGGAUUAUGUGAUCGAAAGUCGAGAGGAUCAACUGUUGAAAUAUGUAUCAAUAACUGAAUAUACAUAGAGGCCUUUAAGGGAAGAGAUCUUUAAUUUUUUUUUUUAUUAAAAAAUGGGGAUUAGUUGUGGUGCUCACAUCAUAUAUAACUUCAACGAUCUGAACCAUCUAUUUUCAAGUUGCACCUCAUAUAUCAUUCUUGCAAAGUAUUACCCAAAUCGGAAAUACUUGAGACAUCUAAUUGUGGUAAAAGAAAUUGAUGAACACUUUUGUUUGUACCAUACUUGACCAAUUCCGAAACUACUGAGCACCGGUCAACGUUAUACCGUCAAGGACCUAGAAGAGUUUCCCUCCAACCAGGAGGCUAAUCAUAGUGCGACACAUGUCAACAACAGAAGCCAAUCACAACACGACACGUGUCAAUGUCAGAAUGAAACUAGAAACUCUCUUCUAUAAAUAGAGAUCAUUUUCUCACAAUAUUUCCUAAUGUCAUUUGUACUAAAUCAUUCACUAGUACUCACUAAAGGAGAGCUUGAACCUAUGUACUUGUGUAAACCCUUCACAAUUAAUGAGAACUCCUCUACUCCGUGGACGUAGCCAAUCUGGGUGAAUCACGUACAUCUUGUGUUUGCUUCCUUGUCCCUAUCCAUUUACAUACUUAUCCAUACUAGUGACCAGAGCAAUCUAGCGAAUGUCACAAACUUAACACUUUCUGUUGUACCAGAGUCCUCGCUGAUUUUGUGCAUCAACAUUUGGCGCUGUCUGUGGGAACGACACUUAUUUCCACUCUCUUCAACUUUGCCAAGCUGGUUUCCACCAUUCGUACACUCUCUUUUGACCAGGCAUCCCUUUCCAACAUGGGGAGUGAAGGAAGCCACAGCACACAGAAUGACACCCCUCUUGCACCUAGUGCGAAGCAACGAAAGAAGGAAAGAAAGAGGGUUGCUCUUCAAGCUAAAGUCGAUGAGCUUGAAGCUCAGAACAACAAGAUAGCAAUGAAGAAUGAGGUCCUCCAGGAGCCAUAUGAGAAGCUCUUUAAGAUACUCCACGAAACUAGGUGUACUCAAACAUGCAAGCUCGUUGCCCCUAUGGACAUCAACCAUCAUCUGGGUGCCCCCCAACAUGGAGGGUCACCUCUCUUCGACAUGGAUAUCCUUGAUGAGGAACAAGCUAAUCAUCAAAACAUUGAUCAACAUAAGACUUCUCUUAACCCAGAUGCUUCGACCCGAAGUAGAAAAAGUGGAGGAAGACACAAUAUUGCAGAAGGGUUGGAAGGAUCGAAAGCUGUUUAUCGUGACUGCCAAGACUUCCUAAAGGAACGUCGAGAGAAUCCCCUCCACAUAUGCUCGAAGAUCAAUGACCCAAGGGAUUCUGAAAGACUCGAUCCCCUCCCAAGACCCAGGCCAGUUGCCAAUCUAGGGAAGGAACGACAGGUCCCAGAGGAACAUGAAGGUACGGGGGACUCUGAGGUAUUCUGACAGACUCACCCUAGAAGUUAGUACGGCGAAUCCAAGAAAAAACCACACGCCCAUGCUCAAACUUUCCUACUUCCAAGAGGCGAUGGAGACUUACGAAAGAAAAUUCCAGUGGUACAUAACUCCACUCAUGACCCCCUUGUCCUACAGCUCCUUGAGGAAGUAAACAAGUUGAAGGCCGAAUGUCAGGCCGAGAUACCUGACUGGAACCAACCCAAGCCUGGCCUUCUCACAAGAAGAAUCGUCGACACCCCCUUCAAACGAAGAAGACACAAUUGAACACCUUAAUCUCUUUAAGUCCACCAUGGCAUAUCAGAUGCACACCAACGAAGAGCGAUGUCUUCUCUUCCCCUCCACCCUCUCUGGCGGAGCUCUAAACUGGUAUUGCCGUCUUGCACCUAAGACAGUAGACUCAUUUGAAGAAUUAAGGAAAUUGUUUGUCUCUUAACAUAUCUUCCAGACCAAUUACUUGCAUUCUGCAGAUGACUUAUACACUAUUCGCCAGAAGCCGGACGAGUCACUACGAGAGUAUGCCGGUCGCUUCAGCCAUGAGUAUUCUCGAUACGCUGAAGUAGAUGACAAGACCGCCCUCAAGGCCUUCAUGGCAGGCCUACGUGAUUGUUUCUUCAAGUACAUGAUCAAUUCCAACACUUGGAAGACUUACUAUGAGGUGAUGGCACAGGCUUACAACCACGUCUUCGCCGAAGCAAGGACAUACCAAGGGAACCCCCUAUGGUUAACCCCUAUCAACAAAUGGGAAGUGGAAGUCAAGUUCUACCAAGAGAUGAGAUAUUGGCCAUUCAGACACCAAUUGCAUCAUCUCCUGCCUUAUUUAGCUACUCGCUAAGUCACCAAACGUAUCUGUCUCUUGGUAAGAGGAAGGAUUUUUACUCUAAGCAAGCCCAUUACAACAAGAGGGAUAAAAGUUCGUAUCAAGACAACCAGGGGUGAACGUACCGUCGACUAUUAUGACUAUAGGGCCAAGCCUCACUCUUUCAAAGUGGAGGACUAGGUACUGAAGGAAAUGGUAUUAUAAGAAGGCAUACAUAUUACAAAUGUUUUGACUCUCAAUCGCUUAAGAUCUUUUGUCACACAAGCCAUUCGGCAAAUAUUUAAAGAAGAGGGAAUUCAGACAACUUCUUCUGAGUCUUUUGCAUUCCUAGCACUGGAACACUUGGUCUACGCUGACCUACCCUUAUACUCCAACUUAGAGCUUCAACAUGCAUGCUUUGACACAAAGUAUGUGAUACCAACCAACAUGGUUCACAUAUCAAAAGCAUGGAUCCCUUCAUGCAUAGCAAAACAUUCAUAAGCGUCACUCAUAUCAAUCAACAUAAACGUUAUACAUUCAAACACAUUCAUACAUAAACAUCAUACAUGCCAACACAUUCAUACAUAAACAUCAUACAUUCCAACACAUCCAUACAUAAGCCAACUGUGAUUCGAAAGGGUUCAACAUACUUUGUGUCUUCGACACUUGCUACAAUGUGCCUCAACACCUUGCCCUUAUUCUCACCAACCAGGUGAUGAAAUGUACAACCCGUACUCUAAUAUCAUUUGGCAACUUGCCACUCAUGCCACCAACCAGGUGAUGAAAUGUACAACUCGUACUCUAAUAUCAUUUGGUAACUUGUCACUCAUGCCACCAACCAGGUGAAGAAGGAACUCAUUUUCGUGCCACCAACCAGGUAAUGAAAUGUACAACCCGUACUCUCCUUCAUGCCACCAACCAGGUGAUGAAAUGUACAACCCGUACUAUAAUAUCAUUUGGUAACUUGCCACUCAUGCCACCAACCAGGUGAACAAGGAACUCAUUUUCAUGCCAUAAACCAGGUGAAUAAGGAACUCAUCUUCAUGCCACCAACCAGGUGAUGAAAUGUACAACCCGUACUCUUCUUCAUGCCACCAACCAGGUGAUGAAAUGUACAACCCAUACUCUAAUAUCAUUUGGCAACUUGCCAUUCAUGCCACCAACUAGGUGAAGAAGGAACUCAUCCUCGUGCCACCAACCAAGUGAUGAAAUGUAAUGAAAGGUGAUAAAGGAACUUACCUUCAUACCACCAACCAAGUGAUGAAACCAACUCACCAUUCAUUCCACCUACCAGAAGACGAGUGGUACAACUUGUACAUGUGAACUCCUAGCAUUCACAAAUAAUAAAAAACCUUCAAGCUGGACAACUCAACUAGGGAAGCAUUUAUGCCCAACAAGAGUUAUAGUCACCAACAAAGUCCUAUUGCAAGCCAACAACAACUUCAGUGCAUGUCAUACGAAGAUCAAACUAUUCAGCCCUCUUGCAUCUGCUUUAGACAUUUCCCUUUUGUAACAAUGCAAACACUACAACUCGCAGAAAGCUUCACACUCUUGAUCAAGACAGUCUGAAGCAAAACCAAUUUAUGGUGUUAACAAGAGCUUCAUCAAUGGAGGGCAACCAUAAUUCUCAAAAGCUUCACACACUCUUGAUCAAGACAGUGUGAAGCAAAACCAAUUUAUGGUGUCAACAAGAGCUUCAUCAAUGGAAGGCAAGCAUAAUUCUCAAAAGCUUCAUAUACUCUUGAUCAAGACAGUGUGAAGCAAAACCAAUUUAUGGUGCCAACAAGAACUUCAUCAAAGGAGUUCAACCACAAUUCUUAAAAUCUUCACACACUCUUGAUCAAGAUAGUGUGAAGCAAAACCAAUUUAUGGUGCCAACAAGAGCUUCAUCAAUGGAGGGCAACCACAAUUCUCAAAAACUUCACACACUCUUGAUCAAGACAGUGUGAAGCAAAACUAAUUUAUGGUGCCAUCAAGAGCUUCAUCAAUGGAGGGUAACCACAAUUCUUAAAAGCUUCACACACUCUUGAUCAAUACAGUGUGAAGCAAAACCAAUUUAUGGUGCCAACAAGAGCUUCAUCAAUGGAGGGUAACCAGAAUUCUCAAAAGCUUCACACACUCUUGAUCAAGACAGUGUGAAGCAAAACCAAUUUAUGGUGUCAACAAGAGCUUCAUCAAUAAAAGGCAAGCAUAAUUCUCAAAAGCUUCACAUACUCUUGAUCAAGACAGUGUGAAGCAAAACCAAUUUAUGGUGCCAACAAGAACUUCAUCAAAAGAGUUCAACCACAAUUCUUAAAAUCUUCACACACUCUUGAUCAAGAUAGUGUGAAGCAAAACCAAUUUAUGGUACCAACAAGAGCUUCAUCAAUGGAGGGCAACCACAAUUCUCAAAAACUUCACACACUCUUGAUCAAGACAGUGUGAAGCAAAACCAAUUUAUGGUGCCAUCAAGAGCUUCAUCAAUGGAGGGUAACCACAAUUCUUAAAAGCUUCACACACUCUUGAUCAAUACAGUGUGAAGCAAAACCAAUUUAUGGUGUCAACAAGAGCUUUAUCAAUGGAGGGUAACCAGAAUUCUCAAAAGCUUCACACAUUCUUGAUCAAGACAGUGUGAAGCAAAACCAAUUUAUGGUGCCAACAAAAGCUUCAUCAAAGGAGUUCAACGACAAUUCUCAAAAGCUUCACACACUCUUGAUCAAGACAGUGUGAAACAAAACCAAUUUAUGGUGCCAACAAGAGCUUCAUCAAUGGAGGGCAACUACAAUUCUCAAAAGCUUCACACACUCUUGAUCAAGAUAGUGUGAAGCAAAACCAAUUUAUGGUGCCAACAAAAGCUUCAUCAAUGGAGGGCAACUACAAUUCUCAAACAUUCAAGGCAUAUUCAAGAUUGUUUGAAGCAAAUUCAAUUUAUAUGGUUCAUCCAAACCUUCAACUACUACAAGGUGUGGCUUGCAUCACAAUCUCUUGCUCAACAAUGUGGAAGGAAAAUUUGUAUAUGUUGUCUCUCCCAUAUUUCCAAAUUUCUACUUUCCAAAAAAAAAAAAAAAAGGGAAAUUCAACAAAACUUCAUCAAUGAAGGACAACUACAAAUUCUCAAAAGCUUCACACUAUCUUGAUCAAGAUAGUGUGAAGCAAAAUCAAUUCGUGGUACCCAACAAAGCUUCAUCAAUGCAGGACAACUACAAAUUCUCAAAAGCUUCACACUAUCUUGAUCAAGAUAGUGUGACGCAAAAGCAAUUCAUGGUACCCAACAAAAACUUUAACUCUAAAGCUUCACCUACAAAGCUUCAACUCCAAAGCUUCACCUACAAAAGCUUCACCCAUAAUAGCUUCACCUACAAAAGCUUCACCCACCACAAAAGCUUUACCUACAAAAGCUUCACCCACAAUAGCUUCACCUACAAAUGCUUUACCCAUAAAAGCUUCACCAACAAAAGCUUCACCCACCACAAAAGCUUCACCUACAAAAGCUUCACCCAUAAAAGCUUCACCAACAAAAGCUUCACCCACAAAAGCUUCCCCCACCACAUAAACUUCACCCACAAAAGCUUCACCUACAAAGGUUCAACACAAAAGCUUCACACUAUCUUGAUCAAGAUAGUGUGAAGCAAAAUCAAUUCAUGGUACCCAACAAAGCUUCAACCUCAAAGCUUCACCCAUAAAGCUUAAAAAAUAUAUAUAUAUACACAUACAUAUUUUUGGAAAUUUGAAAAUUCAAAAAAAAAUUCAAAAAUUCAAAAAUUCAAAAAUUCAAAAAUUCAAAAAUUCAAAAAUUCAAAUAUUAAAAAAAAAAAAAUGGCCUAGGCCUCAUCUUUUUUGGGCCUAACAACUUUCAUAACAAAUAUAUAUGAAGGAGGAGUUUUGGGCUACCACUUAGAAAGGAAAAUGGUUAAGUUUUGUUACUUUGGAAACUUGGCUACUAGCAAGACACCUCCUUCGUCAACUCCCUCGACCGGAGACUUGGGGGACUCCUACCAUAUGCUACUGCACCUUGAUACUCGGAAGUCUCACGACCACUUAGUGACUUGGAUUUUUUCAAGUCUCAAACCGAGAAGUUUUCCUCACUCAGGAAAUUAAAGGAGCACUACCUCAACCUACAUGCUUCACUCACAAAGCUUCAACAUACAAGAUUCAACAAAAGGAAAAAUUCAAAGAACUUAGUGAAGAAGGCCUUGGUGUAUUUAACACAAUAUGUUGAAAUGAAGCAAAGCUUGUUUAUUGAUAUCUCCGAUAAGUUACAAAUAUGUACAUAUACAUGAAUCAAAAUAAACAAACAAGAGGGAGCCUUCACAAAGGUUGCUCAGGAGAAGUCUCAGCAGUCGGCAGAGCCCCAGAAAGAGGAGGCACCAGAGGGUGAUUAUUCGGAGCCUCAAUACUAGGAAAAACCACAGAAGGAGGAGGCACCGAAAGUUGAUCAUUUGGAGCUUCAUUACGCGGUACAGCUUCAGAAGACGAAGGCAAUAAAUGCCUUUGGAACAAACCCACAAACCUCUGAUGAUCAAGUAAAAUCUGACCAUCAGAUUCCUGCAGCUGGUCGAGCUUUCUCUUCAUGUUUGUAGCAUAGUCAUGUGCGAGCCUGUGCAACUGUUUAUUCUCAUGCUUGAGCCCUCUGAUCUCCUGUUUGAGACUUAUCACUUCAGCCGCCAAUGAUUCAACUUGGCGGGUUCGAGCAAAUAGGCGUUGGGCCAUAUUAGACACAGAACCUGCACAUUGAACACUGAGAGCCAGAAAAUCCUUAACAGCCAAUUCAUUAAACCGUUUGGAAAGUAGUCUGUUAUCUUUGGGAGUGAGAAGGUUCCUGGCCACCACCGUAACGGUCAUAUCAUUCUUCAUCACAGAGUCCCUAACGGUAAGAGGACCAGUAAGGGAUAAGAAGGAUGGGCGCCAUAUGUUGUCUUGAGAAGGCAUGGCUGCCUCUUCACCAAAGUUCAAAUCAAAACGACGGUCGGAUGGGCCAGACAUUCUCAGAAAUGAUGAAGGAAAAAUGAGGUGCAAUAAAUCUCUAAAGUAAGGGGAAAAUUCCUACAAGAAAUAACUCUCUGAAUGUACUUCUUGCACACAAUUGGUGCCUUUAUAAAAGAAAGGGCAAUAGGGUCGUUGGUUCAAAAAUCGAAGAGGCACCACUCUUCGGAUUUCGAAGAGGCACCAUUUUCCACACGUAACAUCAGCUCCUUGGGUACCAUAGGUAAUUUUGCCAAAGAUCUCUGACAAAGUUUAGACACAUAAAUUUUGAAGGUCCAGCUACCCUACUAUUACCCACAAGGGUAAAGGAACAGCACCACUGCUUGAUAACUAGAAAGUCCCAAUGUGUGUCAACCUUCGUGCUCCGUGGCAAGACAAACUGGUUAAAAUGCCCAACCUUUACUCACAUUCAAGAAAACACUCCCAACAAGAUUGAUUACUCAAAAAUCUAAGAGGCAUUGUCCUCCGAAUCUCGAGAGCCAGACUCCCAACAGGAUUACUUUCUCAAAAAUCAAAGAGACACUGCUCUCCGAAUCUCAAGAGUCAGACUUCCAACAUGAUUGCUUUCUCAAAAAUCGAAGAGGCACCGUUCUCUGAAUCUCGAGAGCCAGACUUCUAACAUGAUUACUUGCUAAAAAAUCGAAGAGGCAAUCGAAGAGGCCCUGAAUCUCGAGAGUUAGACUCCCCCAACUCUCAAACAGAUGACUUUUCUUUCUCAAAAAAAUCGAAAAGAGGCACCGUUCUCUGAAUCUCGAGAGUUAGAUCCCCAACAGGAUUGCUUGUUCGAAAACUGAAGAGGCACCACUCUCCGAACUUCGAGAGCCAGAUUUCCUUGGAUAAAGCUUGUCUGCAAUCUUCGCACACUCACACUUCAGAGCUUUCCAGAUCACACAGACCACUUUUUCAAAGUGCUCUGACAAAGUUAAAACAUAUGAAGCUUGCAGCUUCCACUACAUUGCUAUGACCAAGAGAAGGUAAAAAUGAAUAAACACUACUACUUUGUUAGGGAGACUCUUAUAUAUGUCGACCUCCAUCCUCCACAGCUAGGCAGACCUGCAAAUAAAAAAAAUGCUCAACUUUUCUUCACAUCUGAGAGGGCACUCUUAGCAGAGUCUCUCGAAAUACUCAGCUUCUUUUCCUCUUGAUAAUACCUCUGCAAACAAGCCACACCAAAGCAAGAGUAUCUCAUAUCAUCAGGGUUAAAAGCAAGAGUAUCUCAUAUUAUGUUUUUUCCCUGUCUUUUCCUUUGGCCUUAUUCUUACCUGCAAGACAAGGAGAAAGAGAGCAAUCAGUCAGCACUUGGAAUCAAGCUUCCAGUCAGGAAUUGUCUGCCUAGAACCCCUUGCCUGAUUACUUACUUGGAAUUGCUCUCAAGUACCCAUCUUCAACAUCUUAUGCUUCUAGAGAAGAUAACACAUCUGCCUGAGGAACAGAUAGGGCAAUUGAGAAGGAUACAAGGAAGCAUAUGGAGAUAAGCGUAACAGAACAUGUGCCAAUACAUCCACUACUUUGUCAACAGCAAAAGUAUCCCAUAUCAUCAGGGUCGAACGUACUAUAGAUUGGAUGAACUUGUUUUGAUCCUCAAAUUCUUGAGUUUGCCUUAUACUCUGGAGGAAACCAGAAAACCUUCCAGCCGAGUUCAAGAUAACCCUGUGGAAAGUUACUUCUUCAAAAGAAAAAGUAUCUCAUAUCAUCUCUUUUCUAUUUGCUUCUCCUUAUCCUUGUUGCUGUUUACAACACAAGGAGAAGGAGAACAAUCAACCGGAAGUCGAAGUCGAACCUCCGAUCCAGGUUGCUUGCUUGGAAGUCUGAUUGCAUACCUUGUCUGUUAGCUCUUUCGACAAAUCUCUUGGCUCGGCGACUUGAGGGACUCCUACUACAUGGUUUAUAUCGCGCUUGACCAAGCCUGAAACUACAAGUAAGCUUCAAGUCAAAUUGAUACAUUACCUUGUGCAUCUCCACUGGUUAAAGAUACCACCCCUGGAUGGAGGAAAAGUACUUCUAGAGAAGAUGCCACAUCUACCUAUGAGACAGAUAAGGCAAGUGAAGACGAUACCACACUUCGGUACUUAGAAGUUUUGUGAUUACUCAGUGGCUUGGAUCUUGCAAGUCCCCAACCGAGGAGCUUCCCUUACUUGGGAACUUAGGGGAGCACUGUUUGUACCAUACUUAACCAAUCCCGAAACUACUGAGCAUCGAUCAACGUUAUACCGUCAAGGACCCAGAAGAGUUUCCCUCCAACCAGGAGGCCAAUCAUAGCGCGACACGUGUCAACAACAGAAGCCAAUCACAACAUAACACGUGUCUAUGUUAGAAUGAAACUAGAAACUCUCUUAUAUAAAUAGAGAUCAUUCUCUCACAAUAUUUCCUAAUGUCAUUGUACUAAAUCAUUCACUAGUACUCACUAAAGGAAAGCUUGAACCUAUGUACUUGUGUAAACCCUUCACAAUUAAUGAGAACUCCUCUACUCCAUGGACGUAGCCAAUUUGGGUGAACCAUGUACAUCUUAUGUUUGCUUCCAUGUCCCUAUCCAUUUACAUACUUAUCCACACUAGUGACCGGAGUAAUCUAGCGAAUGUCACAAACUUAACACUUUCUGUUGUACCAGAGUCCUCACUGAUUUUGUGUAUCAACAUUUGAGAUCUGCAUGCUAUUCAAUAAUAACGAUGGGUCAUUGUUUCUGGACUGUAAAAAUAAUUGUUUCUGGAUUUUAAGUUACACUGUUUUUGGAAUCUAAGUCACUGUUUCUUAAAUAUAAGCUAGAAAAGAAAUAGUGAAAUUCAUUGUAUUUGGAUUCAAAACAAAAUAAGCACCUUGUUUCUUAAAUAUAAUCAACUAAUGCAUGAAAGAAAAGAAACAGUUAAAGAUUAAAACAUAGACUGUUUAUGGAAUUUAAGACGCUGUGUUUGAAUUUUGGUUCUUUUCUUUCCAGAUAUAGUGUUUGUUUGUGCACAGACAAAACAAACAUUGUAUCUGAUUUUUUUUUUCUUCCAAAAAUAGUGUUAUGUUUUGGGUUCUUCAGAAACAGUUUUAUGUUUUGGUUCUUUUUUUUUCUAGACACUUUUCCACCAGUUUCUGCCAUUAAACUUCUUUGAACUUGUUUUGGCGGCUCGUUCUUAUGAAUGCUUCAUUUUUCAACUUUGAUUUGGUUAUUUUUGAAAUGGAGGAAUUCAAUUUGAUAGGAAGAUAGGGAGUUAUUAUAGCGGUUUCGUGCUGGGUUGAGGUUGGUGAAGAGUUAGGACAAUAUCAAAUCAUUUAGGGGUAUUUACAGAAGUGUAGAUUUGUAGCGGGUUGGGCUUGUAAGUUUGACCUGUUAACAAUAGUUUUGGAUGAUUUUUUAUUAAACUUUGAGCCAUUUUGGUUAAAUAACAUUUUGAGAUGGUUUUUUGUUAAAUAUUUGUUGGCCAAGCCAUUUCAUUAAAGCUCCAUUGAUUUUUCUGUUUUGAAAAAAUGAAAACUAAUUAAAAGGGCUUGAAAACUUUGAGUUUUAAUGAUAAGGACAAAAUAAAGGCUAAAGUGAAUGGUACCAUGUUUGACUUUUUAGUGUAAAAAUGUGAUUUUUCGUUAAAGUGAACAGUAGCAUGAACUUUUCGUUAAAACUCCCUUUAAAAAAUGGGUCCAUACCAUUUACAUUUAAGAGGGCUCCAUACCAAAUUAGGAAUCUUCUUUGCCGACCUUGAUUUUUUUUUUAAUUUUUUAAUUUUUUUUUUUUUAUAAUCAUGACAAACAAAAACUAACUCCGAACAUAUUUCACGUGUAAUUAUUUUGGCUUGGCUUAUAAGUGAAGGGGCCAAUCAAAAUAUAUCAUUAGGUUUAGAAGAUCGCAAUUCAAGGUAAGCAUAUAGAAACUAUGAGUUUAAUCUUUUUUAAUUCGGUAAAUUUGAAUUUAUAUUUUAUUGUUGUAGAUAUAUUUUGGUAGGUCUGUUAUUUUUUGGUUUCUAUAUAUAGAUGUCUAUAAGUGAUGACAUGACAAUAUCUUUAAGAAUUAAUUAUUAAAAAGGACAAAUUUUAUGAUCGUUAUGCAUUAAAAGACAUAUAAAUUGAAAGGCCUCCCAACAAUAGGUCGCCUAGGCCGCAAAAUAUCUGGCUGGCCCUAUGAAUAAAGAGUUGGAGCUCUCAAUUUGAGUUCGAACUUAUUUGAAUAUGAUUAUGAUAACAUGAUUUCCAUAAUAUGUAUGAUUAUGUGUGAAGGUAUACCAUAUCAUUGGUUUACUGAUAUAUACAUAGUCGUAGUGGAAGUAAGUUAAUUAUUUAAUAAAGUAAAUAAUUUAAUUAAUUAAUUCUAGAAAAUAUGUCUGAUGGAAUAUAACUAAAACAUUAUAUCUUUCGACAGAAGUUACAACUUCUCCUGAAAUGAUAUGAACUCUCUAUAUAUACUUUAAAGCCGUUGCUAGAGAAUUACUCCAACAAUAAUGUAUUUUUGCUUCUCUCUGACUCAUAUCUUCCACACUACAUUGCGAUCGACGGUUUAACAACCUUGGUUUCUGGUCCUUUUAAUCCACUAUUUCUAUGCUCUCGUAGAUGUAUUUUUUUGAGUCACCAGCUUUGCUUUGACAUACUGUGAGACCAAAGGUUUUCUACCACCUUAAGUACCGAAGCAGCAUAGAAGAAGAGAUAUUAGUCUGUCAUCAAUGUAUGCUGGAAUACCUCUUAUAUUGAAAAUAAAAUAAAAAUAAACUUCCAUGCAUGCAUCCUGCUACUUUAAUCUUGUUUUUGGACCACAAUGGAAAACAAAAGAUGAUUCUUUUCACUUCUAUUAUGCAGCAGCAUCAAGUAUUUUCUGUAAAGUAUAAAACACUUUGUUCUAAGUCUUCCUCAAAAGGAAGAAGAUCUAGCAACUUAAAAGCCACGUAGAAUUAAAGGCUUUGGAGACAAAUGAAAUCAACUUCUAUAUCUUGUUCUUGGUGGCCUCAACAAUGAACACCCUUCAUCCUAUACUUCCGUCUUCUAUUAUUUAUUUAUUAAUGGGAAGUUUGUUAUUUUUGUAAUUGUAAAGUAUGAACGUAUAUAUGUUGAUGAACAAGAUAAUAUGAAAAUUUUAUGAGAUUGUAAAAUCAAAUAUAAUGCAUAUUGAAGGAUUCCACUACUAAUCAUUGUUGUGACUUGUGAGUUGUGUUUUAUUUGGAAAGAAAUGAAUAUUCAGAAAUUUUCAAAAUACAUUUUAACUUGGCAUCAAAACAUGUUAUUCUUCUAAUAAAUCACGAUUUGAUUUAUUGGGCUUAAAUUUACUUUCUUAACUUGAGCUCUCAAAAAGUUGCACUAGCUCCAACUUUGGAUAUUAGUGUUUUCUUAAAAAGACACAAGAUCUGAAUAAUUUUGUUUAACCACUCAACUAGUUGGGACAAGUACGCUUUUAAUAUUGAUUAGUAGUGAGUUGUUGGACUGAUUGUAAGCUUCUAAUAAACCAUGUUACUAGUGACAAAUAUGAACAUCAUGUGAGUGGCAUGAUAGGACAAGUUCAUUGCGAGUGUAUUGGACUAAAGCACACUUGAUGGGCUGCCGCCCUAAAUUUGAUUUUGGGGCACCUUUGGGUGGGAAACAAUCUCAUCAUCUUAUCUUAUCCACAUUCAACAGCCCAAUUACAAAAACAAACCGCACCGAAUGGGACCCUAUUCUUUGCCCCAAUAGCCUACAACCCAAAACCUAAAUUAUUAUUUAAAAAAAAAUUGUUGGAAUAUUAUAUGCUAUAUUUAAAUGGAAAACUAACCAAAACACCCUCAAAAAUUUUAUUUUAAUCAUAAGGACAAAACAAUUCAAUAAUACCCAAAAUGGGCAUGUAAAAGAAGACAAGGGAAAGAGUAUUUUAAAAGAAAAAGCAUUUUAGGGAUAUCACAUGCAAAAGUUGGCCAUUAGGAGACAAACCAUGCAACAAAUUCAGAUGUAAAAGGAGACAAGCAAGUUCACAUGCAUUAUGCCACCUUUCAGAAACAGUGCUAACAAUUUCAACACCAGUAGAAGCAUAAUGAUAAAUGACAAGUACCAAAGAAGUGUCCACACCGUUUAUUUAUAAUUUUAAUAUCAUUGUAUCCUGAUUCAGUCUAUAUAAGUGAAGUUUCAUUCAUUGUAAAGACACACCUUCACCACUCAACAUCUGAACACCCUACUCUCACACCAUCUUCAUACUCUCAAGCAUUCGUAGCCUUCAUAGCAUCCUUGUAAAUAUCUCCUUGUAAUCACUUUUUUGUAAACAACUAUCUCUGUAAACAUUCCAUAUAUCAAUAAAAGUUCAAGUGUACAUAUUCAAGCAAUCUCCAAGUCUUAAGUAAGUUUUCUUUUCCUUCUUUAGUGUGUUUGUUUAAUUAGACUUCUAGUCCAAAACAGGAAACACUAUUGUGGUUAUAUUAUUAACUUGCUAAACUGACGAUCAUACUUUGUUUGAGCACUCUGUUAUAGUUGAAUGCUUGCCAUACAAAUAACUGGACAUUAACUAGGGUACCUCUGAGUUCUUCGUACCUCUAACUUCAACCGUUAAGGCCUUAUACUUGUACUGUGAGUGGCCGUCAUGCUGAAACAUGUCGAGUUCCAUGUGCAAGGUUCUAUGUCUAGUUAUUAUAAUGACCAUCCGACUAUUUAACCGAGCAUGCAUUGCGAAUUUGGUAUCAGAGCCAUGUUUAGCAUUUUAAUAGUAUAAUUAUAAUAGGAAAGUACCUUGAGGAUGGAAGUCAUUGAUACAAUUGAUAUCACACUUGUUUAUUUUGUAUGAAUAACAGAUAUUAUUGUCCCUGUAGACCCUGACAAUUACCAGGUAUUUAUUUUCUCAGGCAUCCAACUGUAACUAGCAUAAAGAGAAGAUUAGCAUAUAUAUCCAAAAUAAUUAUCAGUACUUUGAAGAAGCAAAAGUUUUAUCUUGGUUAUAUUGAACAUCUUUCAUUUAUUCUUAAAUAUAAUAACACAAAAGUGCAUCAUAAAGUCUUAGAAGCGAAAAGAGCAACAGAUCGAGUUUUAGAGACAUUGAAAGAAAAAAGAGAGUUUAUAAGAAACUAGUUAGCCGUAACUCUAGAGAAAGGUAGACUAUAGUUUAUGAUAGAUUAUCUUAAUUUAGAAAUUAGUGAACCUCAAAAAUGAAAAAUAACUUUAGACCAAAAUAGUUUAGUUUGUUAUUUUCCAUUGAGAAAGCAUAAUCAUAUUUUGCAUAGUGAAAAAAAUCCACAAGCCAAUAGUAUUAUAGAUUUUAUUAUUAGUCAAGCAGAAAAUAUAAAAUUAGAAAAUAAUAAGCAUAAUCAUUUGUUAAACUAGUUGUUAGAGCAUUUUCAGAAAAAUUCCAUAAAAAUAAUUAGACAAAAUUUAGAUUAUAUUACAUCUCAGUUAGAAGAUAAUAAUAAAAAUAUUCAAAGGUUUCCUAGCAAAAGAAAGAUAAAAGAGCUUGUUGACCUCAUAGAUAGUAAGCCGAAGUAAGUAGAGUUUAGAUCAUUAUAAAUAGUUGAGUAGCUAAAAUUAGAAGUUCAAAAAAAUUCAAUUAGUAUAAAAAUAGUUAAGUGAACAAGUAGAUAAGUUGCAUAAUAAAAUAGAUAAAUUAUUAGUUUAAUGACCGAUUAUAGAACUAGCAGAAAAUAUAUCCAAGCUUUGAAAGAAAUUAGUAAGUUAGAUAAAAAACCAGUAGGUUUAACAGAUUUUUCAACACAAGUAUCCAGUACUAAUAUUGACACACCCCGUCCCGAAGGAGGGCAUGCUGGCCGUCACGUGAGAGUGACGUAACCAUUUGCACAGUACGGAAGCUUUAAGAUACAAUUUAUAAGUUGAUACACCCGAAGGGAGUCCUAAUUUUGUCCAAUCUGUCAGAACACCGUCGAAUUCCUCGUAGCCACCACACCUCAGCUAUUCUUUAACCUGGAGGGGCGCAAAACCAAAAUUGAGUGGGUCAGUAAAACAAUUCUUUUCAAAUCCAAUUUUUUCUCAAAGCAUUGUAACCCCUCUCCGUAAAACCUGUAUACUUUCCCAGAAAUGUAAAAUAUAAAUAUACAUAUAUAUUCUCAAAACUUCAUUUUUACUAUCUCAACAUUUUUCUUUAUCAAUCAUGCCAUGCCAUGUCUAAUUCAACAGUUAAGUAUGGAUGCAUCAACAAUAAUCAUAUCAGGUACAAGAAAGUAAUCAACCGGAGGCCCUCUAAUAGCCUUGUACGGUUGAACCUAGAGCUCAAAAUCUAUAAUUCUCACACUCUGCCGGAGUCACUCCGCGUGACCUGUACGGCCUUCUGCACACAAGUUACGCUCUAGUGCUUCUCAUAAAUCAUCUGUGCACAUAAUCUAAGGUCACCCACCAGUCGGAAUCUCACUAACACUCUCGCGACUGGCCUGUCGUACCCACUCCGCGUGGACUGUACGACUAGCAUCUACUUGGAUCCAAGACGAGCGUGCGAUGCGGUGAAUACUAUAAGCACUAAACUAUGGUGCAGGAUUUGAGCUCAAUAUACAUCAACAUCAUCAUAACAGAAAUAAAUACUCACUUGUGCGUCCACCGCACCAUUUCAUACAUAUGCAUCAUAAAUCAAUUCUUACCUGUGCGUCCACCGCACCAAUUCAUAUAUAUGCAUCAUAUAUUAAUUCAUGCAUGGCAGUUCAACUCACAUUUCUAUAUACUUUUCAUAUCAAUUCUAUUUCUGGGAAACGUCAAUUAUAUAUAUAUAUACGGAAAACAAAACUGCCCACUCACCUGGAGUUCGUCCAACAACUCCCUAGCACCACACAUCAAGGCGUCAUGACGAUCGCCGCCUAGAAUAGUAAUCAAAUCCAACCUCAGAAUUCAUAUCGAUAGAAUAUAUAACUUAUAUAAAAUACGUCACUACGUAGUUCGAUCCGGAAGAUCUGCCACUCAGAUUUUAAAUCCAUAACUUCCAGAGGUCCACAUAUAUCUCUAGGACAACAUCCUAAAAUUUCAUCACCAACCAACGGUCGGAUCUCCGUCAAUUUCCAAAACUAAGUGACGGUUAACAUUUUAUAUUAUGGACUUACAAUUCCAAUUCCGGAAGAUCCGUAACUCGGAUUCCCAAUCCGUAAGUUCCAAUAAUCCUCGAAUAUUACGUAUUACAACGUAUCAAAGUUUGGUAACGAUCCAACGGUCGGAUCGUCAAUUCACAUUUUUACCUAAAUGUGAAAACUAUAAAACGUUAUUCGAACACCUAACCAACAAUCCUUAAUAACUUUCUCAUACGGUGCUCAAUUUGGGUAUAUGAAUAUACCACGGUGAUCUACUCGACGUCACGGACGUCGACAUAUUUUUUAAAAUAAUUUUAUUUUUAUUUAUUUUAUUUUUUACUGUAGCACCUUCUUCUUCCUUGGGUCGCCGGACUGGUUUUUCCGGCGGCCGUUUUCCGGGCAGUUUUUCAAAUUGCCAUAACUUUGUCAUUUCUCAACGAAAUCAAGUGAUUCAAAAACGAGAGUUGUAGCCCUUGAAGAGACAAAGAGAAUGGUACCUUGCACAACACCUAGUCGCCGUGGUUUGGCCGGAAACUGCCUCGAAAGCCUCGGAGGUCGCCGGAAACUGGGUAUUUUUCAAAUGAGUAUAACUUCUUCAAUACUCAACGAAAUUGAGUGAAACAAAAAGGAAAGUUGUAGUACUUGACGAGACGAAGAGAUUGAUACCUACCUCGACUCCUAACUCGCCGGGGAUUCGCCGGAAAGAGCCUCGAAAGUUCCGGCCAAACUUUGAACUUGUCGAUCUCCGUGUUCUUACGUCCAAAAACUUCUAACGAAGCACUCCGAGCUUCCUUGGGACCUCACUAAGCUCACUAUGAGCUUGGAUUGUCCUAAAAAUCAACCAAUUCAAAGCUCAUGAACAGUACACUUUCAUGGGGAGUUUAGAAUCUAGGUUUUCCGAAGUAAAACUUACCUGAAAUGGAUACCAACGUGAUCGUGAAGUCCUCAGGAUUCCAAUGGUGGUCUCAACUCUGUCGUUGGUGGAAGUUUAGGGUGGUUUUGUGGUGGUCUUGGUGGUUGCCGUAUGUUCGAGAGGGUGAGAGAGAGAGAGAUCUGAUAUGGAAGAAGAAGAGAGAAGGAAAGGUUACGGGUUUUAGGGAGUGCUUUGAGGUAUGAGGAUCCCACCUUAACCCAAACACUACAUUACAACCUAGUUUUAGUCCCUAACACAAAUUAACCAUAGUUUAGGAACUUUAAAUAAAACAAAUGUCAUCUCUUUACACACCUUAAUCUCGUUUAAGGUCAUUUUUGAAAUUUCACGUCCUCGGAAUGAAAAAUCCCGGGACGGGCUGUGACAAAUAUUCCAUUAGGCAAAAUAAUUUGAUUAUUCAAUUAGUUUUAAGUUUGGCUGAAAUAUUAGAUCAAGUUGAAGAACAAAUAGCAGAAAUAAACCAAGUUUUACAUAACGCAUCUUCAUUAAUUCCACCAUCCUUGCUAGAUAAAUUAGAAAAUUUAACUUUAAGUGCAAAUAAUAAUAGAAGACCUAAGCUAAAUCCUUUUGAUAAUAGAAAAUGGAACUCUUUAGGAAAAAAAGAAAAGAAGUAGUUAGAGCUGAAGAUAUUUAUCCUAAUGAAGAAGAAGCAUAAGAAUUUAUUCGAAGAGGUUUUGAGAGAACACAGAAAAAAAAAUAUAACCUGUACCAAUUAGGUUUAUUUGAAAAUAGAAGCAUAAUUGUAAGUAGCAUCAGUUAACAUGAAGUUAGCUGUAUUGAUAAAGAAGUCACACUUAAUCUAAUUAGUAAAGAAGCAAUUACUCAUUUGAGAAAAUCACAUUUUAGUCAGAUUCAUGUAGGAACAAAUUAAUUGGAAUAGUAGGAUUAACUAAAGCACAAGUAGGCACAAAAGCAUUAGUAUACAUAUAUAUGAUGAUAGAUGGGAUAAUCACCAAUAAGCAGCAAUAGCAACAGCUGAAGUAGACUUAAGUUCAAACUUAGCAGUCAUAGGUUGUAAUCCAAAUUAUGUUAUGACAAUCAAUGAAUUUAGUAAAUAUAUUAAAGUAAGCAUAAGAACAAAAAAUUAUAAUAUGAAAGGAGAGUAUAAAAAUUUGUGUAUUAGCCCGUCCUGAAUAACUAAUUUUUCGUUGAUGUGAAAUGACAAUUUCGCCCUUGGACGUUAAACUGCGUGGUGUGUGAUUUGUUUUGAAAUGGGAUUAAUUGAGUUUCCAUAAGUUUUUGGAACCAUUUAGGAACUAAGAAACCUUGGUUAUGAUUGAAUGUUGACUAGUUAUGGACCACACACAUCACCUCUCCCUUCUGUCUCUUCUUCCCGUGCUCUAUCUCAUCUCUCAGACUCUCUCUCUCUCUUUCUUCUUGUACGGACAAACACCAAGGACCUCUUAAACUUCACUGAUUAAGGAAGAAAAUGGUACCAUUGUUUUCGUGAAGCCCAGACAAGUCGAUUGGUACCCAUUUCAGGUAAGAAUACCUUUGAAAACCCUAUUUUUCCAUAACCCCCGAUUUGUGCACUGUUCAUGCACAUGUAAUUAUGGAUGUUUUUGGGAAUUUGAAGCUUGUGGGAAGCUUAGUGAGGUCCCAAGGAAGCUCGAAGUGCUUCGUUUGAAGGUUUUGGACGUUGGGAUCGUGUGAACGAAGUUUGGCCGAUUCUCUUGGAAUUCUCCGGUGAGGUUUCGUGACUUUUAGAACUUUAAAUUAGUAUGAUUGUGUUCUACAAGUUAAGAGCUUCAUUUUGGUAUAAAAUACGUGAAAAAUGGUGCAAAAACGAGUGAGAAAUGGGCAGUUGCAGGUCUGCCCAGAAUCCAACGCCGGUGACAUAGUUCUGGCGUCUGAAGGUUGAAGGUGAUGCACGUGAGGGCGGGUGAGGUUGUGCCCUCCCCGGGGCGUGAGAGCACGUGAGCCAUAGGAAAUUUUUUCUAAAAAUAUCACGAUGUUCAUGAGGUUGUGUAGAUCACUGUGGUAUAUUUAUAUACCCAAUUUGAGCAAUGUAUGAGAAGUUAUUAGCUAGUUUUGUAUAUGUGCUUUAAAAUAACUUUUUUAUAGUUAAUUCGCAUAUAGGUGAGACCUAUCCAGAGGACGAGCGUAUCCACAGGCGACUCGGGGGCUACGACCCUUCGACAUACCAGUGAGUGGGCUUUUGUUUUCAGUAUAUAUUUAUAUACUUGAUAUAUUUCCUAGAAAUGCAUUUUAAGGAAAGUAUGCUUUGAAAUAAUAUGUCAAAUGCGUUUAUAUUCCGAAUAUGAAUUUCAUGGUUGCAUAUAUAUAUAAAUAUGGUGCUGUGGAGGCACAGGUAAAUUUAGGUAAGUUAUGUUUGGCUAUGUGAAUCAUCGAUGAUGUGAUAUGUGAAAUGAUGUUGAGCUCAUAAAACUCCUAGGGUGAUUGAGAUUUAGCCAGAGAUAUAAAGUAUAGGCCUGUUUAUGUACGUCACCUCCCGCACUAUAUGCUCAUAUUGGAUCCAACUUAAGUGAACAGUCUUGUCGUACAGACCUUAUUCAUGGUUUCGAUUCGUAGGUGAUUAUCGAUUUAUCGCCCGACUAUUAUGAGAGAAUAGAGUUGAGCAUAAUUGUAUUUCACCCAAUCUUGUCGUAUAGACCCUUUUUGGUGGUUCCGACGUAUGUGCAGUAUAUUGCUGUAUAGGUCAUUGUAGUGACUCCGGCUGGAUUGACUUUUGAGCUAUGAAUUCAGCUGUACAAACCACCAUAGGGGUUCCAGCUAACAUAUCAUCUUUCUAUGAAAUCAUUCUUACCUGGAUUGUUUACUUGGUUACAUUUUGGUAUAGCAUACAUUUGAAUAUGAUUAUGUGAAGCAUGAAUUGAAUUGAUAUGAUUAUAUAUAUAUAUAUAUAUAUAUAUAUCUAUAUUAUGUAUAUGCUUAUAUCUUGAUUCUGGGAAAAAUAUACAUGUUUUACAGCGAGGGGUUAGUAUGUUGAUAAAUGAAAUGAUUUUGUAAAACAUUUGUUUUUGCCCAUUCACGUUUUCUGUUUUACGCCCCUCCAUGUUUUAAGUAAGCUUGCUGUUGGUGGCUUGAGGAUGUCGGCAGUUCUGACUUAUCAAAAUAAUAGUAGGACAUUCCUGGUAUUGUAUAAUUAAUACUUGUCCUACUGGACUACACCUAGACUUUUAUGCUCUGAUUAGGAGUGCUUACUGUUGUAACUAACUUCUAUCAAUUUUUGUUUAGUAGUGCACUCUAGUAAUUUGGUUUUUAAUUAUUUCGUAUAUUUCUUAUCUCAUUGCUUCCGCACUGUGCACAUGGCUCACUCUCACGUGAGGGCCAACAUGCCUUGAUCUCGGUUGGGGUGUGUCAGUUUGGUAUCAGAGCCUAAGUUUAGCAGUCCUGUGUAAUUCUUGAAUGUUCUAAUCCUUGUGAUGUCUUAUGUUAGAACUAUACCGCCUCGUAGAAAGCCCCGUCAAUCAGCUGAAUCUAGUUUCCCUGAUAUUGCUCAAUUAGGGGAAGCUAUAGUUUUUGCCAUUCAGACAGCAUUCCGUACUCCCUAGAGGACACCUCUUGAGACAGUUCAUAAUCUGAAAUUGACUCACUUCAUGGGUAAUGAAGGUCAUGAGGGGGCAGAAAAAUGGCUGAAUCAUGUGGAGAAGACCUUUCAGGUGAUGCAGAGUUAGGGGAAUCUUUUUUCUGAUAGGUGGGUUGAGAUGACUACCUUGUUUUUGGGAGAACAACUUGCAUCUUGGUGGAGACAGGAGUCUUACUAGAUGGCCCCGUAAGAGAUUGUAGACUAGGACGUGUUUAAGGAACGGUUUCAGAAAAGGUUCAUUCCUUCUGCAUAUAUCGAUCUUAAGAAACAGGAGUUUACUCAUUUGAGGUAAGGAAAGAUGUCCGUUAAUGAGUAUUACAGGAUGUUUACUGAUCUAUCGAGAUACCACCCGAAGUUUGCUGCUAGUCCAGUAGAGAUGCUUUGCCAUUUCAGUUUGGGUAGUAAGAAGAAAUGGCGUUCCAUAGCGACAUUGACUGACUGUGCCUCUUACCAGGAGUUCUAUGAGAUUUUAUUGAGGAUUGAGGCCUCAGAGAACAUGCCUAGUGAAAGUGAAGAUGAGGAAGGAAAGAAUGGGGGCCAGAGACGAGAUGACAAAGGAAAAGGGCAAGCAUUUCAGGGACCCUGCAAGACCUAGAACUUUAAGAGGAAUGUCGGUAAUUCCAGCUCUUCAAGCGGAUGAUUUAGUACUAAUAUGCAGAGGAGAGGUGGUAGAUUUACUAGAGGUCCGAGGUUCCAGAGACAGAAAGAUUUUGGUGGUCCAGGUGGAUUUGGUGCUCCCUUAUGCCGCAGGUGUAAUAAUCGGCAUUUUGGGAGUGUAAGAGAGGCAGCAAUGGAUGUUUUACUUGUGGAAAGAUGCGUCAUAGGGCUGCUCAAUGCCCUCAGAGUCAGCAGAGAUCCCAGCAGCCUUCCUUCCCACCACCUGCACCUACCCAACACACUUCAGGAUCUAGUGGUUAUACUCAGACUGGACGAGGAAGUGCCUACCAUUAUCAGGGUGACGCCGCUCCCUACACCUCAGGAUAACAGCAGUAUUCUCAGGAUCCUCAGUAUCAGAGUGGGUACCCUCAGUAUCAGGGAUUGAUUGUGGUGCUACACAUUCUGUUAUUUCUCAUACAUUUGCUCAAGUGACACAACCUCAUCCUACACCUCUAGGAUAUAAUUUAGAAUUUUCUAUGCCUACAGGGGAUAGCUGUUUUGUGGAUCGGGUAUAUCCAGGACGUCCAGUGAUAGUAGAGAAUAUUAUUAUGCCGGCUAAUCUUAUGCCGUUGGAUAUUAUGGAUUUUGAUGUGAUUUUGGGCACUGAUUGGUUGCACUAUAAUCGUGCCAAGAUAGAAUGUUAUGGGAAGACAGUCACAUUUCACUGUCCUGGAUUACCUGAAGUUACAUUUGUAGGAGAGCCUAGUGGGGUGAGGCAUGGUAUUAUUUCAGCCAUGAAAGCAAAUAGAUUGUUGUCGAAAGGUUGUCAGGGAUAUUUGGCUCAUGUGGUGUUGAACGAUGAUGCUCCUAAUAGUGUGGAGGAUGUUCGUGUGGUCAGAUAUUUUCCAGAUGUAUUCCCUGAGGAUUUGCCUGGAUUACCGCCAGAUAGAGAGGUGGAGUUUGUUAUUGAUCUGCUUCCAGGUAUGAAUCCCAUAUCCUUAACUCCUUAUAGAAUGGCUCCUGCUGAAUUAAGGGAAUUGAAAGUGCAGUUACAAGAGUUAGUGGACAAAAGGUUUUAUUCAGCCUAGUACUUCACCUUGGGGAGCUCUAGUGUUAUUUGUGAGGAAGAAAGAUGGAACUUUGAGGCUGUGCAUUGAUUACAGGCAAUUGAAUCGAGUAACCAUUAAGAACCGUUAUCUAUUGCCUCGUAUAGAUGAUUUAUUUGAUCAACUCAGAGGUGCCUGCGUAUUUUCUAAGAUUCACUUGAGGUCGGGAUACUAUCAGUUGAAGAUUAAAAAUGAAGAUGCCCCUAAAACCGCAUUCAGGACUCGAUAUGGUCAUUAUGAGUUUCUUGUGAUGCCAUUCAGGUUAACUAAUGCAUCAACAGCUUUUAUGGAUUUGAUGAAUCGAGUAUUCCAGCCAUAUUUGGACAGGGUUUGUUAUUGUCUUCAUUGACGAUAUUCUGGUAUACUCUAAGUCUAAGGUUGAGCAUGUUAGACAUUUGAAGUUGGUGCUGAGUAGUUUGAGGGAACACCAACUGUAUGCUAAGUUUAGCAAAUGUGAAUUUUGGUUGAAUCAAGUGGCAUUUUUGGGACACGUCAUUUCUGCUCAAGGCAUUCAAGUGAAUUCUCAGAAAGUUACCGCUAUGGAGAAUUGGGAGCAACCUCGAACUGUCAUUGAGGUACGGAGUUUUCUUGGCCUAGCAGGCUACUAUAGAUGGUUCGUUAAGGAUUUUUCAGUGAUUGCUCUGCCAUUGACGAGGUUGACUUGAAAGGAUGUUAAGUUUGAGUGGGAUAAUAAAUGUGAGCAAAGUUUCCAACAGCUGAAGUACUACUUCACUCAUGCACCUGUUCUAGUACUUCCUGAUGAUAACGGUAAUUAUGAGGUUUAUAGUGAUGUUUCUUUGAAUGGUUUGGGUUGCGUAUUGAUGCAACAUGGUAGAGUAAUUGUUUAUGGUUCAAGACAGUUGAAACCUCAUGAGAAGAAUUACCCUACAUAUGAUUUGGAGUUAGCAGCUAUCAUCUUUACUUUGAAAAUUUGGAGACAUUAUCUUUAUGGUGAGAAAUGUAAGAUCUUCACAGAUCAUAAGAGUCUCCAGUAUCUGUUUACUCAGAGAGAUCUUAAUCUUCAUCAGCGGAGGUGGAUUGAGUUACUUAGUGACUAUGAUUGCACGAUCGAGUAUCAUCCUGGUCGUGCAAAUGCAGUGGCGGAUGCACUGAGUAGAAAGACUCCAGCUAGACUUAAUGCUAUUUAUGAUUGUCAUGUUCCUCUCCUAGCAGAUAUGAGGUCCAUUGGAGUGGAGCUAGGAGUGGAAGAUCGAGAAGAAGCCUUGCUUGCUAAUUUUCAGGUUAGGCUAGUUUUAAUUGGUCGUGUACUUGAGACUCAGAUGAAUGAUGAAGAGACCCAGGAAAUAAUUCAAGCAAGAAAUCAAGGAAAAAAGAAAGAUUUCGAGAUUCAUGAAACUGAUGGCAUGCUUAUGCAGGAAAGCAGGAUGUAUGUACCGAAAAAUGCAGAGUUAAAGAAAGAAAUUUUGGAUGAAGCACAUAUUUCGACAUAUGCAAUGCAUCCAUGCGGCACUAAGAUGUAUCAUACCAUUAAACCAUUUUAUUAUUGGCCGGGUAUGAAAAGAGAAAUUACCGAAUGUGUGAGUAGGUGUGCCAUUUGCCAAUAGGUUAAAGCCGAAAGGAAGAAGUCGUUUGGGUUGAUGCAACCACUUCCCGUUCCACAGUGGAAAUGGGAAAAUAUUACUAUGGAUUUUGUGUACAAGCUCCCUCGUACACAGAAUGGUUGUGAUGGCAUCUGGGUGGUAGUUGAUUGGCUUACGAAGUCAGUGCAUUUUAUUCCAGUGAGGGAGAAGUAUUUGCUAAGCCGAUUAGCUAAGUUAUUUAUAUCACAAAUUGUGAAGUAUCAUGGUGUGCCAAUUAAUAUUAUCUCAAAUCGGGAUCCUAGAUUUACUUCCAAGUUCUAGAUAGCAUUCCAUGAAGCUUUUGGUACGAGAUUACUUUAUAGUAUGGCAUAUCAUCCUCAUACAGAUUGACAAUCUGAGAGGACCAUUCAGACAUUAGAGGAUAUGUUGAGAUCUUCAGUGCUAUAGUUUGGAGAUAGUUGGCAUGAUUGUUUGGAUUUGAUAGAGUUUGCCUACGACAACAGUUAUCAUUCGAGCAUUGGUAUGGCACCAUUUGAGGCACUUUAUGGGAAAUAUUGUCGUACACCUCUAUAUUGGUCAGAUGUUGGCGAAAGAGGUUUAGUGGGCCCUGAGAUUGUGGAUGUGACUACUCAAAAUGUUCAGGUAAUUAAGUCUAACCUGAAAGCGGCCCAAGAUCGACAGAAGAGCUUAGCAGACAAGCAUGCCACUGAUCGGAAAUAUGAUGUAGGCGAUUGGGUAUUUCUGAAGCUAUCACCUUGGAAAGGUGUAGUACGAUUUGGAAAGAAAGGAAAGUUGAGUCCUAGGUUCAUUGGACCAUAUAUGAUCACCGAGCGAGUUGGUGAGGUUACUUACAGGCUUGAGUUGCCUCCAGAGUUAUCCAAGUUGUACGAUGUAUUUCAUGUUUCGAUGCUUCGACAUUAAAUUUCAGAUCCUUCACAUGUGAUUCCUCCUCAACCUUUGGAAAUAAAUUCGGACUUGACUUAUGAUGAGGAGCCAGUGACUCUGUUGGAUUGGAAGGAUAAGGAACUAAGGAACAAGACCAUGUGGUUGGUGAAGGUAUUAUGGAGAAAUCAUUCAGUGGAAGAAGCUACUUGGGAGACAGAAUAUUGAAUGAGAAAGUUAUCCACGCUUGUUUUAUGAUUAUUAGUGGAGGUAUUUGUUAUGUAUAAUUUCGAGUAUGAAAUUUUAUAAGGUAGGGAGAUUGUCACAGCCCGUCCCGAAUAACUAAUUUUUUGUUGAUGUGAAAUGACAAUUUUGCCCUUGGACGUUAAAGUGUGUGGUGUGUGAUUUGUUUUGAAAUGGGAUUAAUUGAGUUUCCUUAAGUUUUUGGAACCAUUUAGGAACUAAGAAACCUUGGUUAUGACUGAAUGUUGACUAGUUGUGGACCACACACAUCACCUUUCCCUUAUCUUUCUUCUUCCCGUGCUCUUUCUCAUCUCUCGAACUUUCUCUCUCCUUCUUCUUGUACGAACAAACACCAAUGACCUCUCAAACCUCACUGAUCGAGGAAGAAAAUGGUAACAUUGUGUUCGUGAAGCUCACACGAGUCGAUUGGUACCCAUUUUAGGUAAGGAGACCUUCGAAAACCCUAGUUUCCCAUAACCCCCGAUUUGUGCACUAUUCAUGCACACGUAAUUAUGAAUGUGUUUGGGAAUUUGAAGCUUGUAGGAAGCUUAGUGAGGUCCCAAGGAAGCUCAGAGUGCUUCGUUUGAAGGUUUUGGACGUCGGGAUCAUGUGGACAAAGUUUGGCCGGUUUUCUUGGAAUUCUCCAGUGAGAUUUCGUGACUUUUAGAACUUUAAAUUAGUAUGAUUGUGUUCUACAAGUUAAGAGCUUCAUUUUGGUAUAAAAUACGUGAAAAAUGGUGCAAAAACGAGUGAGAAAUCAGUAGUUGCAGGUCUGCCCAGAAUACAACGCCGGUGACACAGUUCCGGUGUCUGGAGGUUGAAGGUGAUGCGGGUGAGGGCGCGUGAGGCUGUGCCCUCCCCGAAACGUGAGGGCGCGUGAGCCAUAGGAAAUUUUUUUCUAAAAAUAUCACGAUGUUCGUGAGGUUGUGUAGAUCACUGUGGUAUAUUCAUAUACCCAAUUUGAGCAAUGUAUGAGAAGUUAUUAGUUAGUUUUGUAUAUGUGCUUUAAAAUAACGUUUUUAUAGUUAAUUCGCAUAUAGGUGAGACCUAUCCCAAGGAUGAGCGUAUCCACGGGCGACUCGGGGGUUACGACCCUUCGACAUAUCAGUGAGUGGGCUUUUGUUUUGCAGUAUAUAUUUAUAUACUUGAUAUAUUUCCCAGAAAUGCAUUUUAAGGAAAGUAUGCUUUGAAAUAAUAUGUCAAAUGCGUUUAUAUUCCGAAUAUGCAUUUCAUGGUUGCAUAUAUAUAUAAAUGUGGUGCUAUGGAGGCACAGGUAAGUUCAAGUAAGUUAUGUUUGGCUAUGUGAAUCAUCGAUGAUGUGAUAUGUAAAAUGAUGUUGAGCUCAUAAAACUCCACCUAGGGUGAUUGAGAUUUAGCCAGAGAUAUAAAGUACAUGCCUGUUUAUGUACGUCACCUCCUGCACUAUAUGUUCAUAUUGGAUCCAACUUAAGUGCACAGUCUUGUCGUACAAACCUUAUUCAUGUUUUCCACUCGAAGGUGACUAGUGAUUUAUCACCCGGCUAUUAUGAGAGAAUAGAGUUGAGCAUAAUUAUAUUUCACCCAAUCUUGUCGUACAGACCCUUAUUGGUGGUUUCGACGUAUGUGCAGUAUCUUGCCGUAUAGGUCAUUGUAGUGACUCCGGCUAGAUUGACUUUUGAGCUAUGAAUUCAGCCGUGCAAACCACCUCAGGGGUUCUAACUAACAUAUCAUAUUUCUAUGAAAUCAUUCUUACCUGGAUUGUUUACUUGGUUACAUUUUGGCAUAGCAUACAUUUGAAUAUGAUUAUGUGAAGCAUGAAUUGAAUUGAUAUGAUUAUAUAUAUAUAUAUAUUAUGUAUAUGCUUAUAUCUUGAUUCUAGGAAAAAUAUACAUGUUUUACAGUGAGGGGUUAGUAUGUUGAUAAAUGAAAUGAUUUUGUAAAACAUUUGUUUUUGCCCACUCACGUUUUCUGUUUUGCGCCCCUCCAGGUUUUAAGUAAGCUUGCUAUUGGUGGUUUGAGGACUUCGGUAGUUCUGACUUAUCCAAAUAAUAGUAGGACAUUCCUGGUACUGUAUAAUUAGUACUUGUCCUACUGGACUGCACCUAGACUUUUAUGCUCUGAUUAGGAGUGUUUACUGUUGUAACUAACUUCUAUCAAUUUUUGUUUAGUAGUGCACUCUAGUAAUUUUGUUUUUAAUUAUUUCGUAUAUUUCUUAUCUUAUUGCUUCUGCACUGUGCACAUGGCUACGUCACUCUCACGUGACGGCCAACAUACCUUGAUCUCGGUCGGGGUGUGUCAUUCAAAAUUUAGUUCAAACAUUUGGUAGUAAACAUGUAAAUAUGAUAUAAGUAAAACCCGUAGAUAAUAGUUUUUUAGAAGGAACUCAGUGGACAUUGCCCAAUUUACAAGUAGAAACAAAUAGACAACUAAAUAAAGUACAAAUAUAUGAAACUAGUAUAGAUCAAGCAACAAUUAGGUUUAGUAAUCAUAAGCAACUAAAAAAAAUAGAAGAGGAUGAGAGUGAGAUCGAAAAUGAGAGUAUACAUAUGGAGUUUGAUAAUUUAGAUAUUAAUUUAGUUGAGCAAAACUUUGAUCAUAUUGUAGAUAAACUUAUAGAAGAUAUUGAUCAUUUAGAUGAAGAACAAUAUUUGGAAAAAUAUAAAACAUAUGAUUUAGGACUACAUAUAAUUUCAGACGAAGAGAUGAAAAAAUUAAUCUUAGAAAUAGGAGUAGAACAUAUUUUUGGAUCAAAAGAAUAUAAUAAUUUAUUAGAAUUGAAAGCAGAAUGUAAUCCAGCAGAAGAAAGUAGUACAUAAGGAGUAGAAAAUCCAGGACACGCAAGCAGAACUGAUCAACAAUUUUUGAGACCAACAAAUAAACAAUAUAAUGAAAAGGCAAAAGUAGAUUACAUAGAUGAAAGUAUGAUAAGACCACCUAGAAAAAAUAGGAUUCCAUAUUUGAAAGGGUUAGAACAAAUUAAUAUAGCUAGUAAUAUAUUAAAUUUAGACAAUGUAGAUCCAUAAGAUUGGGAAAGAACAAUUGAGAGAUGGGAAAAAGGUUGCGUCCAUGCAGCAUUAAUAUUAGAUUUUAGUAAUUCACAAAAUAUGUUAGAUUACUUUGAGCAUACUUUGGAUGGUUUAGUUUUUUAUUAUUUCCAGUCAUGGAAAGUCCAAAAUUCAGAACAGCAUUAGGCAGCUAAAACACAUUUUAAUAUUGAUGGUUUUGUCACUUUAAUUAAACAAGUGUUUUUAGAUCAUAAUAAGUUAGAUGACAGAAGCAAACAAGAACAAAUAAGAGCAAUUAGAAAUUUAGAACUAUUACCAAUUUGCGACUUGCAGUAUAUAGCUAAGUACACCACAUAUUUCUUUAAAUAUUUAGGAAGAACAGGUAGGAUUAGUGAUAUUAAUUUAUUAGAUACUUAUAUGACAAAAAUAAAAGGACCAAUAGGUUAAAGGAUUUGGAAUGAAUGGCAAAAGCAUCUAAAGAAGAAUGAUAUUGCAAUAGGACCUAGAAUUCAACAUGUAUAUUAUAUACUUAGACAAGAGUGUAGUCAAAUAAAAGUUAAGAGACAAAUUAGGAAGCAAUUUUACAUGAGUUGUAAAAAUAUAGAUUUACCACAAUAGUAUGGUUGCCAUAAGAAAAAUAAGCAUAAGAAAAUAUACAAAAAGAAAUAUAAGUCAUAUAAACCCUACAAACAGCAUAAGAAUUUCAGUAUAAGACCUUCAAGAACAUAUAGGAAAAGAUUAUAUAUUCCAAAACAAUUUAGAAAAAGAAGUGGCAGACGUUGGAUUAGAAAAUAUAAAGCACCAAAAGAUAGGAGUAGUUGUAAAUGUUAUUCAUGUGGAGAAGCUAGACAUAUUAGACCUAAAUGUCCAAAAUUAUGUAAACAGUCGAAAGAAAAAAUACAUUUGAUGGAGUUGUUUAAGUUAGAAGAAGAUGAGGAUAUUCAGUCAAUAUAUAGUUUAGAUGAUUUAAGUGAUAAUGAAAGUAUUUGUAGUAUAGAGAGUAUUAACAUGAUAGAUUCAGACUCGGAAGAUUCAAGUAGCACAAAUUGUGAUCUAGAAGAGUAUAUGUGUGCAUUCAUAGAAGAACAGCAUGAAGAAGAAUAUAAAUACAUUAAUUUAGGUUGGCUAGAAAAAUGUCAUAAGUGUAGUAAAUUAGUUGCAUAUAAAUACUAUAAUACAUAUUCAAUAUUAUGUGAAAAGUGUUAUAGUAAUAGGUUAUUAGAAGUUAAUUUAGCAGAAUCACAAGAAAAUACGGAAAUAUUAGGAAAUAUUGUUCAUAGCAUAGAAAAACCAAAAAAUAGUUCUUUAAUUACUAUAAAUUGUGAAAUAGAAUUAGCAAAAGAACAUAAAAUACAAACAAUAGAUACAGGGAGUAUAAAGAGUGUCAUAAGAGAAGAGUUAGUACCAGAAAAAUAUAGACAAAAAUUAGUAAAACCAGUAAGAAUAACACAAUUUGAUGAGAGACCAGUUUACUUAACACAUUGUAUAAAUAAUGAGUUUAUUAAAGUAGAAAAACAACAAUUUAAUUUACCAUUAACACUUGUUUCACCAGUAGGAUCAUAUCCAUUCAUUUUAGGUUUAAACUUUUGAAAAGUUUACAAGGUUUUUUUAUUUAUGAACCCUAACAUAACAUUUUUCAAAAGAGGCAUUACAAUAACUGAUCAAAGUAACGCUGUAGAAGCAUAUAAAAGUAUAAGUAUAGAAGAGUCUAGUGGCAAAGAUAGUUAUCAUUUAGAAAACUCAAAAGAAAGUGAUGAGCAUAAUAACAUAGAAGAGUUUGAUAAAGACAUAUUUGAACAUGAAUAUCCAAUUUUAGAAGAAGGAAACAACCGUAUAGAAAUAUUACAAUUAAGUAAACCAAGGAGUUUAGAAGAAUUAGGAGAAGAUCCACAGUUAUAUUGGAGUAAAAAUAAAAUACUAGCAAAAUUAGAUAUAAUUAACCCAGAUUUAACCAUUAAGACGGCUGAUAUGCCUUGUAGUUUAAUAGAUAAACAAGAGUUUGAGCAACAAAUAAAAGAGUUGUUAAAUUUAAAAGUAAUUAGACUCUCUAAGUCUAGACAUGGAUCAACAACAUUUAUUGUAAGAAAACAUUAAGAACUAAAGAGAGGUAAAGCUAGAAAAGUUUAUAAUUACAAGAGGCUAAAUGAUAAUACAUAUGAAGACAGUUAUAAGUUACCAAAUAAGGAUUAGCUUAUAAAUAAAAUUCAAGAGAGUAAAUAUUUUAGCAAAUUUGAUUGUAAAUCGGGAUUUUGGCAAAUACGAUUAGCAGAAGAAUCAAUUGAGUGGACAACUUAGUUGUCCAGAAAGACAUUUUGAGUGGCUUGUUAUGCCAUUUAGACUUAAAAAUGCUCCAUCGAUCUUUCAAAGAAAGAUGGACCAAAUUUUCAAGAAAUAUGAUAAUUUUUGUAGUGUUUAUGUAGACGAUAUCUUAGUACAUAGUAAAAAUAGAAAUGAACAUAGGAAGCAUUUAGAGAUAGUAUUACAAGAAUUUAUCAAUAAUGGAAUUGUUAUUAGAAAAAAUAAAAUAGCAUUAGAAAAGUAAGAUAUAGAAUUUUUAGGAAUGUAUAUCAAGUUAGGUACAAUACAAUUACAAGAUCAUAUAGCUAAAAUGGUGUUAGAAUUUCCAGACAAAUUAGAAGAUAAGAAAUAGUUAAAAACAUUUUUAGGAUUGUUAAAUUAUGCAAGAAAUUUUAUCCCUGAUUUAGGAAGAAAAAUAGCAGUAUUACAUGGUAAAACUAGCAAAAUAGGACAAAAAUAUUUUAAUAGUGAAGAUAUUAAAUUAGUUCAAAUAUAAAAGAAGAAAUUACUGAACUUAAGCCAUUAGCAUUACCAUUAGAUGAUAGUUACAAGAUAGUUGAAACGAAUACUUCAUCAUUAGGAUGGGCAUGUAUAUUAUACCAGAAAAAGCAUAAAGAGUCACCAAAGACUGACAAACAAGUUUGUAGAUAUUUAUCAGGAAAAUUUAGUGAUGUACAGUCAAGAUUACCAUAAAUAGAUUUAGAAAUUUUAGGGAUAAUUAAUUCACUUGAAGCAUUUUCUUUAUUUUUAUAUAAUGAAGUAUUUACGAUUAGAACAGAUUGUCAAAACAUAGUUUCUCAUUAUAAUAAGAUACAUGCUAAUAAACAGGCAGCCCGAAGAUGGGUUAAUUUUGUUGAUUCAAUUAUAGGAAAUGGUUUUAAACCAAUUUUUGAACAUAUAAAAGGUAAUGACAAUACAUUAGCUGAUAUCUUAUCAAGAUUAAUUUGUUGAACAUAUAUGGAAUAUCGUGGACCAUCAUCAGCAAAUAACACAAGGCCGCAAAGCAGAAGAGCUUCUUUCAAUAGCAUAAUGAUGCACCAUCAACCUCCACCAUUCAGUGGAUUUCAAAGUAGCAUAAGCAGACCAGCAUCACCACCAGUACCUACUUUCAACUUUAAUAGCAAUAUUGUUGAAGGAAUCAGAAAUCCAACCAUGAGAUAUAGGUCAAGAGUACCAGGGCUUUCUGAUAGGCAACAAGUUCUCUUAGAUAAUUUUUGGAAUAUCCAAAUCAAGCAGCCAAGCAUGAGGUUAGGUCAUGAAAAAUUAAUUAGAGCCUUAGAACAAGAGUUUGAUAGUUUUAAUUUUAAUUUCCAUCAAAGCCAACAUCAUAUUCAUUCUCUUGAGCAUAACCUUCAAGUUAUCUCUAGAGAACACGAGUCUUUACUCAGUAAGUUUAUCAAAAUGAACCAAGAACUCCAAGCUCUUAGAAUAUAAUAGAAGGCAAGUGACACCCUGAAAAGAGAAUUGAAGAUAGGUUUAGAAAUUGAUCAGCAUAAGAAUAAAGGAAAAGAUGUUAUUAAACCCAUAAAACAAGAGGCUAAUGAGCCCAUAGAAGAGAUUAAGAUUGAGCUCUAAGAAGAAGACAUUGAAAUGGAGCAGCAUUAAAAUAAUGAGCAGCAUUAAAAUAAUGAGCAGCAUCAGCAUCUAAGUGACAGAGACAAAAAAAAAAAAAAAUAUGAAAGUUUUCUUAAAAAUAUAUCUUUAGACUUAAUAUUAGAUGAUAUUUUAUUAGAAGAAAUUUCAAAGGCAAAACUAAGAAUAAUGCCAACAGAUAUGUAAAAUAAGAUCCUGAGCAGAGCAUCACAGUCCAUGAAAAAGUUACAAUUAUAAUUACAAUGCGCCUUGUAUCAGUCUAUCUUUGAUCCAAAACCAGGGAUGGAUAUUAUUACAAAUAUGUAUCCUACUUGUCUUUGUGAUAGUACAUAGAAUUGUAUUUGUAAACCAGAGGUUAGCGUAGCUGUGGCCAUAAUUAACAUGAGAGAUUUAAAACCAUGACAUUUUAGUUAUGAGCAUUAGAAAAAGCAUAAUAUGGUAGAAGUUACCCUUGCCUUACUAUUAGAGUUUGGUUAUCUCGAUAAAAUAUUCAUUAACUGUAUUUCUCAAUUAGAAUCAUUUCCUGAAAAACUUAUAAAAGUAGCAAAAGAUUAUCUGGAAAGGUGGAAAGAAAUUUGCAUAAGCUUUAUUAGUAGUCCUCCAGAUUGGUAUGUACAUAUGCAUAAGGAGAAAGCUAGGCAUAUAGCCAUGAUUAAUGAAGAGUCCUUUAGACUAUCCCCUAUCUCUUCACAUAGAUGGACUCCUUCAUACAAAAAUAUUUUAAAAUUUAAGGGGAUCCAAAUGUUUGCCUUAGAUGAGUUUGAAGAUUUUAGAUAUGAUAUGGCAUUAGUAGUAGAGGAAGAAGAGAUGUAUAUUUAUAGCAAGACAAGGAUCAGUCAUCAGCCUUAUUAGAAGUCUCAAAAUUUCAAAGAAGAAACAAUAGAAAUGUACUACAAGGUGAAAGAAGAUAGAGAAAGAGAUGCAGAGCUAAUAGAGGGCGAUGAAUAGUACUGGAAUAAUUUGACAGAAGAAGAGCUGCAUAACAUUGACAACAUGAUGAAAGCCUGCAGAGCUAGCUGUAAAUUAGCAUAAGUUUAAUAGCAUAAUGUAAAAUAAUGUAUUCCUAGAUAGAAAUGUCAACAUCAUUGUGGACCCCGCUAUAAUGACAUAAGAGUAAAUAAAGAAAAGAACAUGAUCCAUUAUAGACUUUUCAUACAUAAAAUGUCAUUUUGUUUAAGAAUGAAUAAUGCCAAGCCCUUUUCGUUAAAACUCCCUUAUUUAAACACAUAAGAUAAAGAUAGUACAAUGGAUUCAUGGAUGACGAAAAAUCCAACCUAAAUUUGAUCCCAUCAACACACAAUCAUGGCCCGCUAGCCUCUCUAUUAUAUGUAACUCUCCCAUUACUCUUAUAACACUAAAUUAAUGGAGUACUGUACAAUCAUAUAUCAUUUUGUUAAUAAAAUGAUAUGAUUGUAAAUUAUUAAUUUUUAAUAUAACGAUAUAAAUCUAAACUAAACGGUAGGGUUAUAAAUUGGUAUAAAAUUCAUCAUCAUGAGAUUCAAAAAUAAAACUUCACUUACAAGUAAAGAAGAAUAUACUAUGUAGCAACUCAACAUUACUUCAAGUCUGUAAUUGUUGUGUUCCUCGAUGAGUAGAUUUUAUAUUAUAUAUUUUACCCUAAUCUUAGUAUAUUUUGGUUAAUAUAUUGGAAGAAUUUUGAUACUUUGAAUUGUAUUUUCAAUAUAGGACUUUCGACUUCCUCUGGAGCAAAACAGGACCAAAUGGACGAAUUUUGGAGUAAUUCCAGUUGGAGGACGUUCGUGAGUCACUUAGCUUGAUCGUAUCAAAAUUUGGGAUUUUUCCACCAAGCGGUUAUUUUCUGGCGAUGAAAUAAAGAAGCAGUGCGCAGUGCUGGAAAAUGACGUUUUUGGAGCCCAAGAUGACCUCGGAUGGGUUCGUGGCCUUCUGGAAAAGUGUUCAGAAUAUUCCAAACAUCAAAUCCAGCUAUAUUGGGCCAGUUUUGGAGCAGCUUAUGGGCCAAAACGUGGCUGUUCAGAUUUUUAGACGAAUUUUACUAUUUUUUUAUUUAGGGUUUUUAUUAAUUUUAGUUGGCUAGGGUUUUUGUGGUGGCUUAGCAAAUAUAUUGGUGAGCCGUCUACAGUUUUAGAUUACGCUUUAUUUUAUGCAAUAUUGGAGACAGAGAGAAGUGCUAGGAUUUUGAAGAUUUUCUACUUGAAGGUGUUUUCAAUCCUUUUCUUAAUAGAUAUUUCUAUGAUUUCAGUUAUGAAUAUGCGGAACUAAUUUCUUUUGCUAGGGCGAAGCCUUGAGCCUUAGCAUGAAUAUGUGAUUUUUAUUUAAUUUCUUAUGAUUGAUUGCAUGCGGACUUUGAAUUGUUAAUCACCGGGAUAAAAACUAUCUAAUUGUCGUAAUGCCUGAUCACCAUUAGGAUCUUUAGAAAAGUAAUUUGAUGCAAUUUUGGUCGGAAGGUUCCCUGAAAUUGACGCUGGCUUCUUGUGAUUAAUAAUUGUAAUUUCUCUUAAGAUGAAUAUCACGUCUUAAGGAUUGCAUGGUUUUUCAAGAGAUUUUCAUAAAGCAUAAUGAGUCUUUCAUGUUUAGAUUUGAUCCGAACAUCCGGACGGGUUGCAUGUUAGAUAUACGUUCUAUGUUGGAGGUUCCAAGUAGAAUAUGAAUUAGGAAAAUCUAACCUUCAAAGUGGCAUGUGUAGAUCAUAAGUAAUUGGUAAAAAUUCAUAGGAUUGCUAGGUGAUGGUGGAACCCUAGUGCCUUCUUAAUUUGAUUUUCUCAUAACUGUUUUCUUUUCUCUAGCUUUAAUAUUGCAGAUUAUCUAUUUUAAUUCAUUAAAUUCGUUUUUACUUUAAGUAGGUUAUAAAAUCAAUCAUCCAAAUUUCUACUUUACAAUCAUUAAUUGAAAUCUGAUUUGUUUCGAAUUAUUUAAUAAUCCCUGUGGAGAAUGACCUUGCGAGAUCCGUUUAUACUACAAUAACCUUGUGAUUCUUGCAAGUAAAAUAGGAGGUUUUUAUCGCAUUUACAUGAGUAGUAAAAAUCCCUAUCAAGAAAAUGGCGCCGUUGCCGGGGAUUAUUUAAAAUAAUUCCUACGAAUCAGAUUUUCAAUUAGUUAUUGCUGUUUAUACAUAUUAAAAAAAAGAAAAAAAAUUAAUUUUCGAUUUUUUUUUAUUUUUACAGAUUACAACAGUACAGAUUUCAGAAACUGUGCAUGGUCAGCACCCGUUCAACAGUGCAGAAAUUGAUUCCAUUUGAUCCAGAAUUUGAGCAGCAUUUAAGGAGGAAACGCAGGGAGAAAAAUUUGCAGCGGGUUCGUCCUCUGCAGGAGACUUUUCGGCAAUCAGACUUUGACCUGCACAACAAAGAAAAAAUGGCGUUUGUAAUUCCAGAGGCAGGUCUGCCCCUGGGUGAUUCACUGACAGCCCAUACAACAAAUAUACCCAGUUGCAUUACAUAUCCGGCAGUGGAAGAAGGGACUGCAUUUGAAAUAAAACAGCACAUGUUGAAUAUUCUACCUACGUUUCAUGGGUUUUCAUCUGAUGAUCCUAACAUGCACAUUGCAGAAUUUUUAAUGGGGUGCAAAAACAUUUUGGUGAGGGGAUUUUCGGCUGAAUCUAUUAAGUUGCGGUUAUUUCCAUACACUCUAAAGGAUCAGGCAAGGAGAUGGCUCCUCACACUCCCAUCUGGAAGCAUUACAACUUGGGCCCAACUCAGUGAAAAAUUUCUAAACAAGUAUUAUCCAGCUUCUAAGACUCUUGACAUGAGAACUCAGAUUUUAUCUUUUGCCCAAAAACCAAACGAAGAGUUUCAUGAGGCGUGGGAGCGGUUUAAAGAGUUGAUUAGAAAAUGUCCGCAUUCGGGUAUUAGCACAACUGAUCAAAUGCAUAUAUUUUUCAGAGGGUUGAAUAUGACUACAAAAACUCUUGUCAACGCUUCUUGCGGAGGUACGUACAAAGACAAAAAUGCACAAGAGGCUUGUUUGUUAUUUGAAAAAAUGGCAGAAGAUACUCAGCAGUGGGCAGUGGAGCAGCCACAAUCUAGGUCAGCUUUUGAGAUGUCUACUGGUUCUCCCUAUGUUACAGCACAAAUUGAAAAAAUGGAGAAAAGGCUUGACGCGAAAUUUGACAUGUUAUUACAGAGAAUGCCAGGUUCUCAAGUUGCUGUACAGCAGCCUUUACAAGCUGCCUGCAGCAUUUGCAACAUGAUAACUCACGAUUUUAUGAGCUGCCCACAUAAAGAGGUUUCACCAGAAUUUACAGCAGAGCAGGUUAAUGCAUUUAACAAUUUUCCAGCGUCCCCGAUAUGACCCAUAUUCUAAUUUCUACAACCCAGGUUGGAGAGAUCAUCCUAAUCUAAGGUGGGAUAAGGAACAGCACACUAGACCUCAAUUUCAACAGCAGGUACAGCAACCUGCUGCACCUAAGGCUGCCUGGGAGGUUGCGAUUGAAAAAUUGGCAAAUACUACCACUCAAGAAAUUCAAAAUCUGCAGGCAUCAGUGAAAAACAUGGAAAAACAAAUGGGGCAGAUUGCGUUGCAGGUUUCUGGAAGGGCUCCAGGUACAUUUCCCAGUCAAACCGAACCAAAUCCUAGGGGAGGUGCAGAUUGCAAGGCAGUUAGAGUUCUACGUUCCGGAAAAAGUUUUGAUAACAGGGAUGAAAAUUGCUUAAAAAAUUCGCGGGUGACUUCACAGCCAAAAACAGAUUCGGGGAAUGUUGAAAAAUCUGCCAAUUCAAAGGAUUCUGAACAGACAGUGAACAGUUCCAAAGAUGGUGCGGUUAUUGUUGAGGAUCGUGUUUAUGAACCACCUAUGCCUUAUCCCGAACGGUUGAAGCCUAAAGUUAAAGAUCAACAAUUGACAGAUUUUAUGAAGACUUUGUCUAAGGUUCAGAUUAAUCUACCGUUAAUUGAUGCUAUCAAAAACAUUCCGUCUUAUGCCAAGUUUUUGAAGGAUGUUUGCACAAAGAAAAAGAAGCUUGUGGAUUUUGAGAAAGUGAUUCUUACAGAACAGUGCAGCGCUGUUCUGCUUCACAAAUUGCCCCCAAAGAAACAAGAUCCAGGGAGUUUUACAAUUUCAUGCACAAUUGGAAGUUCUCAUUUUAAACGUGCUUUAAUUGAUUUAGGCGCUAGUAUUAACUUAAUGCCUUUUUCUGUUUUUCAGAGACUAGGACAAGGAGAAAUCAAGCCUACAUCAGUUAUUCUACAACUUGCGGACCGUUCAGUUGCUUAUCCAAGGGGUAUUAUAGAAGACCUAAUUAUUAAAGUGGAUAAUCUCUACCUUCCUGCAGAUUUUGUGAUUUUGGAUAUGGAUGAAGAUAUGCAAACACCGAUUAUUUUGGGACGUCCAUUCAUGGCUACAGCCAGAACGUUAAUUGAUGUAGAGGCUGGGACACUUACACUUAGAGUGCAAGAUCGAUCUGUUGUGUUCAGUUUAUUUGAGGCUACCAAAAGGCCAGGUGAUGUGCAUGAUUGUAUGCGUGUUGAUGUGCUUGACAGCUUAUUACAGGCUGAAAUUAUGCCACGUUUGACAUCAGAUCCAUUGUUAAAUGUAUUGCAUGGGUUUGAGAACACAAAUACAGAAGAUGAAGAGUGUUUUGAGUACGUUUCAGCUUUGGAAAGUGAUCAUUUUCAACCCCCACGUUGGAGGCCUGUUUUUGAGAGUUUGGGGGAACCCAAGAAGUUGUUGCAGCCUUCUAGGGUACAGCCACCUAAACUGGAGUUGAAGGUUCUUCCAGAACACUUGAAAUAUGCUUAUUUGGGAGCAGAUUCUUCGCUGCCAGUUAUUAUAGCUGCUGAUUUAUCAUCAACAGAAGAAGAUAAGUUGUUGCGCAUUUUAAGAAGUCAUCAAGAUGCAAUUGGCUGGACUAUAACCGACAUUAAAGGGAUCAGCCCUACAAUUUGUAUGCACAAAAUUUUGUUGGAGGAUGGAGCAAAACCUGCCAUUGAUGCUCAACGUCGGUUGAAUCCAAUUAUGAAAGAAGUUGUUCGUAAUGAAGUUAUGAAGCUUUUGGAUGCUGGGAUGAUCUAUCCCAUUUCAGAUAGUAAGUGGAUUAGUCCAACUCAAGUGGUGCCAAAGCGUUCUGGUAUUACAGCUGUGAAAAAUGAUAAUAAUGAACUUGUGCCUACUCGCUUGACUACUGGGUAGCGUAUGUGUGUUGAUUAUAGAAAGAUCAAUGCAGGAACUAGAAAAGAUCAUUUUCCAUUGCCAUUCAUUGAUCAAAUGUUGGAACGGUUGGCUGGUCGUGCUUUCUACUGUUUCUUGGAUGGCUAUUCAGGGUAUAACCAGAUUCCAGUUGCCCCUGAGGAUCAAGAAAAGACAACCUUUACUUGUCCUUUUGGGACUUUCGCAUACAGAAGAAUGCCUUUUGGGUUGUGCAAUGCGUCUGCUACGUUUCAGCGUUGCAUGAUGAGCAUAUUUACCGGGUUAGUUGAACAUGUAGUUGAGGUAUUUAUGGAUGAUUUUUCUGUUUUUGGGGAUUCUUUUGACCAAUGUUUGCAGAAUUUAUCUCUAGUUCUGGAAAGAUGCAUUAAGACCAACCUGGUUUUAAACUGGGAAAAGUGUCACUUCAUGGUUAGGCAGGGAAUUGUCUUGGGCCACUUGAUUUCUAACAGGGGUAUUGAAGUUGAUAGGGCAAAAAUUGAAGCAAUUGAAAAGAUGCCACCCCCGACAUCUGUUAAGAGUGUUCGAUCUUUUCUUGGCCAUGCCGGGUUUUAUUGACGGUUCAUCAAGGAUUUCUCCAAGAUUAGCCGACCCUUGUGUAAUUUAUUGGCUAAAGACGCUCCUUUUGUUUUUGAUGAAGCUUGUUUGGAGGCCUUCAAGAAGUUAAAGACACUCCUCACUACAGCUCCCAUUAUUGCAGCACCUAAUUGGAGCCUGCCUUUUGAACUGAUGUGUGACGCAUCAGAUUAUGCAGUGGGGGCAGUUCUUGGACAGCGAACAGAUAAACUUCCCCAAGUUAUUUAUUAUGCUAGUCGAACCCUCAAUGAUGCACAACUAAACUAUGCUACCACAGAGAAGGAAAUGUUGGCAAUUGUUUUUGCUUUGGAAAAAUUUCGAUCGUAUUUAGUUGGGGCUAAAGUGAUUGUUUAUACAGAUCAUGCAGCUUUGAAAUAUUUGUUGAAUAAAAAAGAUGCUAAGCCUCGAUUGAUUCGUUGGAUUCUUUUAUUGCAAGAGUUUGACUUAGAAAUCAGAGAUAAAAAGGGCAGUGAAAAUGUAGUGGCUGACCACUUGUCUAGAUUGAUUAUUCCCACAGCUUCAGAAGAGGAUUCCUUACCACUGAGGGAGAGUUUUCCAGAUGAACAGCUAUUUGCAGUCCAAUUCCGUACACCAUGGUUUGCUGAUAUUGUUAAUUACUUGGUUAAAGGUGUAGUGCAUCCAGAUUUAAUGGUUCAGCAGAAAAAGAAGUUUUUAUCUGAUGUGAAGCAUUAUUUCUGGGAUGAGCCAUACCUAUUUAAGUAUUGCCCAGACCAGAUUAUUCGCAGAUGUAUUCCUGAAGCCGAACAAGAAAGUGUAUUAAGGUUUGCUCAUCAUUUUGCUUGUGGAGGACAUUUUGGGCAGAAAAGAACGGCAGAAAAAAUUUUGCAAAGUGGGUUAUUUUGGCCUACACUUUUUAAAGAUGCAUAUAAUUGGUGCAAGGCUUGUGAUAGGUGUCAAAGGGUCGGCAACCAGUCCAAAAGGAAUGAGAUGCCCCAGCAAAGUAUUUUGAUUGUUGAAUUAUUUGAUGUGUGGGGUAUUGAUUUCAUGGGACCAUUUCCAUCUUCCCAUGGGAAUCAAUAUAUUUUAGUCGCUGUGGAGUAUGUUUCUAAGUGGGUCGAGGCCAUAGCAGCACCAACUAAUCAGGGAUCAGUGGUCCUGAGAUUCCUCCAAGGGGUUAUAUUUCCGCGUUUUGGAAUUCCACGCGUUAUUCUUAGUGAUGGGGGGAAGCACUUUAUUAAUAAAUCAUUUGCUAAUUUAUUGGCAAAAUAUGGGAUUAAUCAUCGUGUGGCUACACCUUAUCAUCCACAGACAUCUGGUCAAGUGGAAGUUUCAAACAGAGAAUUAAAACGCAUUUUGGAGAAAACAGUUGGUUCAACACGAAAAGAUUGGAGUUUAAAAUUAAAUGAUGCAUUGUGGGCCUACAGGACAGCUUUUAAAACUCCUAUUGGGAUGUCACCUUUUCAACUCGUUUAUGGGAAAGCAUGUCAUCUACCUAUGGAGCUUGAGCAUAAGGCAUUCUGGGCAAUUAAAGAGUUAAAUUUUUCAUAUGACUCAGCUGGGGAACAACGUAAAUUGCAGCUCAAUGAGCUGGAGGAAAUUCGUCAGGCUGCUUAUGAAAGUUCUCGCAUCUACAAGGAAAGAACUAAGGCGUUUCAUGAUAGUCAAAUUUUACGAAAAGAAUUUCAGCCAGGGCAAAAGGUGUUGCUAUUCAGUUCAAGGCUAAAGUUGUUUCCAGGGAAAUUGAAAUCUCGCUGGACUGGGCCGUAUUUGGUUACUAAAAUCUUUCCUCAUGGGGCAGUUGAAAUAUCUAAUGAGGCUCAAGGCAACACAUUCAAGGUGAAUGGUCACAGGCUGAAACCAUACGUGGAGUCACCCUUUGAUACUGCAUACGAGUCUUUGACUCUGAAGGCACCAGUGAUCUAGCCACCGGACUUCCGUAACGUCUAGCUACAGACUUAAAAUAAAGCGCUUAUUUGGGAGGCAACCCAAUUUUUUUGAACUCUUUGCUAAUUUUAAUCUUCUUUUGAUUUUCUCUUUAAUUCAAAAAAAAAAAAAAAUACAUACAUAAAAAUUAAAUACAUAAAAAUAAAAAAAAAAUCAAAAACAAAACAUGGAAGAUUGCAAUUUGUUUUAAUUUACCCAUUCAAUUUUUACUUUUAUUUUUAUUUUCAAUUUUUUUACGCAUAUUGGUUAAUUGCAGGUUGCGAACGUGGAAAAUAAAGCGUGUCCUAUGCUGGAAUCCUGCACCCAGCAGCAAGUCUAACGUUCACAUCAACCACAUCUACACUAGGCAGAAAAUUUAAAGCAGUCAGCAUAAAAAAAAAAAAUCAUUCACAGCUGCAAGUUUGGGGGAGAUUGUUGCAGAUCCAGCACAGAAACAGAAUUUAGAGCAAUUAAUUUUCUGCAGCUCAGUUUUGCGAUGCAUGGAGGAAGCACAAUUAAAUCACAGAUCCAUACACCACAGAACUGAGUACAGCUAUUAUUACCAGAUCUACAACAAUUCCACUUCCAAGGAUAUGAAAUUUUACCUCCCAGAUUCACCGAUCUGGGUUCUUAGAAGCUUGUCCCGUUUUUGUCUAUUGCAGCUGAGGUUUCGCCGUCCACUUUAUUUCCCACGGAUCUAUCAGUGACCAUAUUUCCUGAAAAGUUCACAACAAGAAGACUAAUGACAAUUUGAUUUUCAUGAUCCAGGUUAUGUAUCACUUAAAACACACAAGCUUGUGAAAGUCAUAUUUUCUUACGGUCUUAUUAGUGUUGAUAUUUGUUCAUCAGUCUCCCGCACUUCAAGUUCACUUUCAUCAUAUCAUGUUAAUCAGUAUGUUGUUCGUUCGAUUCAUGUUCAAACCCGCAUAUACAUAUGGUUUUUGUUAUCAUUUUUCUAAGUUCCAUGGACGAAAUAAAUCAUGACAUUUAACCAAGAACAGGGAUGAGUUUAUACCUUCAUAGUCGAAAGAUCAAAACCUUCAUGAUGGGCCAUGCUUUAUGUCCAGUGGAUUUUCAGUUUGAGAGUUCUUUCUCGGGUCUGUCACAGAUCUGAGUGUUGUGCACACAUACCACACCAUUAUAAUUAUAUGCAUAUGUGAUGAAGCUAUUUUUGUCAUUAACCUACGGAGUACAAGAUUUUUACCUUUUGCAGGAAACAGAUCUGCAAGGUUGUAGCUGGUUUGCGUUUUCUUUGUCAUGGCUAAACUUCCAGAUCGAGAACCUGUGCACAUAAACAAAAUACCACAUCAGUCUACACAUGCAGUGUGGAGUAUAUGAGACGCACAAAUGGACAAUGUUUACCUCUGUGGUAAGGCUGUGUUCGGAUUUUUGCAGAGGAAAGUGUGUGUGGUUGCGCGGCUAAGGGUGAGGAGGAGUAAGGAAAUGAGAGAAAAAUGUGAAAGAAGGAGAGCUUUUUUUCAUUUUAGAGAGCAAUGGGGUCUGAGAGAAGAGAGAGAGAGUUGUGAAAUAAAAAGAAAGUAGAGAGAUGAAAUGGGGUCCGAGAGAACUAAAAAAAUAAAAUAAUAGAAGGGCUUGCUGUGAAAUGGAGAGAAAGCAUUUUCAGAUCUGCAAGGAAGAGAGAGAUAUGGGCAAGUGGGUUGAUCUUAACCUUUUAGUUGGAAUCCUAAGAAGUGGUCGCACGGAUGCGCGACACGUGUCCAAUUCUGGCAUUUUUCUUGUCUGUCCGAGAACGUGGUCUUGAACUAGGCAAAGAAAGAGCCGUUUGGCUCUUGGUUUAAUCAAACGCAGAGAGUAGGAGGGCGUGGUGCUCGAGGUCAACCAGAAAAAAAAAAAAAAAAAAAAAUUCAAGUUGCACGCGGAACCUUUUCAUUUCCCAGGCCAUAUAGGAGGCCACGUCUCCUAGCUGCAUGCCAGUUGGAGAUUUUCAUUGCAUGGGUUUUGUGUGGCUUUUAUUUGGCCACACUUAUAUCAACCACAACGUCACUUCCAAAGCCAGGUAGUCUUUUUUCUUUUUCUUUGGUUCUUGUUACUACUUUUCCUUGUUAUAAUUAUUAUUUGUUAGUUUAAGUUUAUUUUAUUUUUGUCAUUUUUUUUAUUUUCGUUUCCACACCUUGAGGACAAAGUGUGAAAUAAGUUUGGGGGUGGGAAAGUAAAUUUUAGUUUUUUUUAUUAUUGUGUCCGUUUAAAAAUUUUCAUUCGUGCUAAGUUAAUAUCCAUAGAUUAUUUUAAACGUUAGAACAAAUGGACAUGGUAAAGAUUAAUCCCAUAGUAGAGUCUUUUCUAUUUAUCGUUGCUUAGACACUAAUUCAUGAAUUAUACUUUGAACUUUGCACAUCACACCAACAUGGUUUGUGGGGAGUGAGAUUGAAACACUUGCUUUUAGUCUAAGUUAUUUUUAAUUUUUGUUUUAAGUAAAGUCAGUUAUUAUUGUGAAUAAAGUAAUAAUUGUCUCACCCGAGGUUUUGCCUAGUAACCGGGCCAGUCCUGCCUAAUCAGCAGUGAUUCUCGCGUCAAACGGUAGAGUUUUGGCAUGAGGCAGGGUGGUUAGUUGGUUUCGUAGCCUUUUCAGUUCGGGUUAAUAAGUCCUUAGGGGUGUUCUACACCUAGUGCCCUAAAGCCCUAGUGGUUUGGGAGUCAUUGACCUAAAGCUCGCUACAUGGGUUGGAUUGAAAGCUUAAGUGAACCGACAUUGCACGACCACUACUGUUACUGAAAAAAAAAAAAAAAUGUUAUAUACAUGAAAAAAAAAAGAGAAAAAAAAAAUUGAAAAAGAAAAAAAAAAAAAAAAAAAAGAAAGAGAGUUAUAUUUAAAGUUAGUAUGUGUGAAAUAAAUAAGGACGAGAGGUAAGGGUUUUAGUCGAGUCCCCUUAAUUAUGUUGGUUCACUUUACACCAAAGGAAGUUUGUGAAUUCUUUUCUAAUUGAUUCUAAAUGGCUUAGACUCUGUGGUGGGAUUGGUUGGAACUUUUGAAAAAAUGUUCUAGUUUUUUAAAUUUGCUAUGGAUUGCAACUUUGAAGAUGAAAAUUUUUGUCAGUUAAUUUUAGCUAGUUGUCUAGUUUGUUAAGUUUUUAUUUUUUGUUUGAGUCUUGUUUUCCUUGAGGACAAGCAAAAAGCUAAGUUUGGGGGUAUUUGAUGAGUAGAUUUUAUAUUAUAUAUUUUACCCUA